This 59741-nucleotide long non-coding RNA is filed under the name Setaria viridis. RNAcentral's name for it is "long non-coding RNA (SVIR_LNC010032)". Lineage: Eukaryota; Viridiplantae; Streptophyta; Magnoliopsida; Poales; Poaceae. The record is from RNAcentral.
CCAUAAAAUUGCUAAGUCCAGAGAUAAUACAUAAACAUAGUAGACUGUUCAUGACACAUAUCACGGUGGACAGUGUUUGUGUCCUUAUUACAAGCAACGAGAGAUGCUCGUCACCAACACGCGCGCGCACAGAUGCACGACAUACAUAUAGUAGAGACCAACAGAUGGUCGUCCCAUAUGGUGAACAAUUUAUUGGAGAUAAAUAUUAACGUAACUUGGCCAUAGCUUGAAGCAUAGCAACAUAUGCCUAUGAGUGGCAUUCAUGCUAUCGUUUUAGGCUUGUCCAGCUCCUUCCAUCUUAGCAAGCACUUCCAUUUCUACCAUCUUAGCAGCAACUGUCAAAUUGAGAUACGGAAAUCCCAUUAGCGCAUGAGUUAAUUUUGCAGUGGAAAUAGAGUACAAGAUGUCUUCAUGAUGUAAGUAAUAUGCCUGAAGUUGUGAGAUGGGAAGUGAAGUCAACAAAUUACAUUAACGGAAAUGCAUGGAAGGCCACACAUACGUAUUAGUCCAUGAUAUGCUACAAAGCUUGUAUGUACAUAUAGCAAAUUAAAUGCAUUAAUUGAAUAGAGUGUGUUUAGUGAAUUUACCAGAAUCGUCCAGAAAACAUGGGAAACAGCAAGUGUUCUUGCAGACUGCGUCGGAGGCACCCGCACGAAUACAAAGCUGACAACAUAGUUUUGCCUGGGCGGAUGCGCAGCAGCCGCACUCCGCCGCGGUGGGGUUAACAUUGAGGCUCAAGAUGACCAGGCACAUGAUCACCAUCAAAGUGGUAGUCCUCUUUCCCUCCAUUGCCUCCUCUUAGCUUGCUGCUACCUUCCUUGGUUACCUAGCUAAGUUUAUUGGUUUUGUGUUGAGAGGUGUGAUUCUUGAAUGGACGUUGCCGGCGGCAAUUUAUAGGCAGCUGAGCUAUGUGAUGAUAUGGACUAGGUGCAAAUGGGUGGUUAAUGGCAAGGAAAGGGGCGUCAGACAAAGCCCAAUGGCAACUGCUGACAUGCGAUUAAAUUCAGAUCCACAUCCGGCCAUUCAAUAAUACGGUUGGAGUUGUGGCACAGAUAUAUUAUUGCAUGAUCAUCAAGAUAAGAUCGUACAGUGACUGAGUGAGACAAUAAAUAGCCAAGUAAACUAUUUUAUCCUGCUGCAAGCUGCAUUCAUAAGUUUAUUUCACCUUUGAUCACAAUACUCUUCACACACGUACGUCUCAGGGAGAUCUCACUUCCGCUGGACUGCUCACUUCCGCUGUCGUCGGUACUGCCAAAGACAUAAGCUCACAUCUGCUAUUGCGGAGCAGGCCAAUUUGCUGCGGAACUUCGGCGACGACCUGAAGGACAUGAACUCGGUGCUGGAGUCCAUCUCAGCAGCGCUCUAGGACGCUGACACCGGUAGAAAAACGACCUUCCAUCGUCAACAAAAAUCCCGGUAGCUUUUUUACUCGGUACUAAAGAGGUUUUAAUCUCGUGCAAACACCUUUAGUCCGGAUUGCUGUUACCACGCAACCCGAACUAAAGCGUCCCCCACGAGUUACUAUAUAAGGAUUGCAUCCUUUACUCAGUCAGAUAUAAUGUGUAGGUGAGAUGGUAAGGAAGCUAUACGUGAGGCUUCAGGUUGUGGGUUCGAAUCCAAGGAGAAGUGGGUGCAGCUGUGGCUUAAGCGGCUGAGGCACGCCGCCAUAGACAUCUCAGAUUUGCUCGAAGACUACCAAGACACUAGUGAACCCUUAACAGUAAAGGUGAGUACUUAUGAAUGUCAGCAUCCAUGUUGUCCAUGCUUCCAAUGUAAUAACAAGAUGGACUACUCUUCCUAGCGGACUCUUCACAACCACUCGUAAAGCUAUACGUUUCUCAAUGCAAUUUCGUAGAAGCCAAUCGAUCCAACCAAGUGACUAAAUCAUUCAUCCUUUCCAAUGAUGUGCAUCAGGUUUUCUACAUGAAGGGCAUCUCUAGCAAACCCAAGAUUUCAGAAGAAAAAGAAAAAUCAUUGGAGCCAAAGAGCCACAUAGUUCUUCCAGGAAAAAAAAAUCAUGGGAGUCGAGAACAAAUCAAACCAAUCAGAGGAUUAUGGUCAGCUUAAUGGCAUGCCUCCAUUCGAUGUCGAAGUUCACCCAAGCAUCAUGUUAGCCAAACAUCAAAUGUUCGUGCGUUGUUACGGUAAAGAUCAAUUGUGUUUUUUAAACUCAUGGAAUUUUUUUUCUAAGUUUUUAUUACACUUAUUGGAUGUCUACACAUUUGCUAGAAAACCAAAAUAAUUUGGACUUAAUUAUUUCUUUCAACUGAAGUACUCACUAAAUUUCUACCUUUUUAUUUAAGCAAGAGAGUUGCUAAAAAAAAUGGAUACAUAACCAUGUUGUAUCGUACAAAGCAACCACAUUUCACAUAUAGUCCGGCUUACCAAACACCAUUUUUUACUGAACAUAGCGUACAUGAGUUAAGAGACAUGGAUUUAUUUCUAUUGCAAGUAGCAUAGCGUACAACCUGCCUGCACCGAUGCAGCUCAAUAUGCGAUAAUUUUUAUCUUCCCAUGUAAUUUUUCUACUCUAGUACAUAUUGAACUCCACAUUAAUGUCAUGUUCUUUGGCGCCCCAGACGGUUCCUAAAGUUUGGAAACAAAAUAGAUAGCCAGAAAUUUUUUUAAAAAAUAUUUAUAUGGAUAUUUGUAUGUUCUUUGCAAACUAACAAUAUUGUUUACCAAUAUCAAAAGGAAUAUGGCUAGGAGCCAUUGCCGCAUAUGGCAGGUGAUGGUAGAUGGCGUAUGGGAUUUCGUUAAUUUAAUGGUAUAAUAAGCUGAAAUACAUUUUCUAUUUGCAAAUGAAUCAUAGCUGAAAGUGGUGAGAUUGUUUUUUCGCCGGUUUAGCAUCCUGUGCACCGGUUCAACUGGAGGGAAGCGGUUCACCGAGACGGAUGACAAUUUUACGGCAGAAUCAUUACUUGUUUUAUUAUUAGGUGAAGAUUUUAGCUUUUAGGUAUCUCACAUUAACAAUCUGUUUCUAGUGUAUAAUGUAGGAGACCCGUAAAGAGUCUACACACACAUAUAUAUGUUGACUAUGAAUGUAAGUUUGUUGGUUUUAUGUAUGUUCAUUUGGAGUUUAUAUAAAUUUUACAUUUUAUAGUUUUGUGUAUAUGACGAAGAUCCAUGACUUGCAUUAAUUUAACCUUUCUUCCAACAACUCUUAUGCAUGCUGUUUCUAGGGGAGCGCACUGGUUGCAAUUUUGGUCCCCGAUAUAGCAUGAGGACUUAAGGGAGACGGGCACGUCGUAACCUUAGAUAUUUUUGCAAGAAGCAAAUUAUACUUUGCUUUUGAUUUUCUCCAUGCCAUUUGCUGACUCUUAUCCCUUUUAUUUAUCAUUAUAAGAUGAAAAUAUUGUAAAAACUUGGUUACGUGCGGUCGCAGAAGCUAGAGACUAUUUCUUUUUUUAAAAAUACGCAAGAGGGAGAAACUUGGUAACAGCUAGACAGUGAAGAUCGCAUUUCAUAAGAAAGAUGGUGCACGUUCUUGUUUGGCUGUUAACGAAAUGACUUCGUUUCACCACACCACCAGAGAGCCCCAUUGCACUUGCAGCAAAAGCGUGGAGCCGCUUUCAACCAGCGUGCAAUAAUGCAGUCCCGCGUGUCUUGGUCUUACAGGAUAUUUGGUUCUUUAGUCCGGACUAAAAUUCAUGUCGCAUAGAAUAUUCAGAUGUUAAAUAGGAGGACUAAACAUGAGCUAAUUAUAAAAAUAAUUACACAAAUGGAGGCUAAUUCCCAAGACAAAUCUAUUAAGUCUAAUUAAUCCAUCAUUAGCACAUGUUUACCGUAGCACCGUAUUGUCAAAUCAUGGACUAAUUAGGCUUAAUAAAUUCGUCUCGCAAGUUAGUCUCCAUCUAUACAAUUUGUUUUAUAAUUAGUCAAUGUUUAAUACUCUAUCUAAACAUUCAAUGUGACUGAAAUUUUAGGAGGUCCUAAAGAACCAAACACCCCUUAGUCUCCGCCUGAACUAUAGCAGGUGCUGGCAGCGGUAGCAGGGUCGUCCAUUAUAUCUAUGGAUGGAAAUGAUCUGAUUCGGAUGGAAUCGAAUUCGAAUAGCACUUUUUACCACAUACUAAUCUGAAUUGGAUGUUCUCGAAUGUGAAUGCAAAACGGAUAGUUCAAAUUUGAAUACUUUGCGGAUUUUUGCAUAAUAUUAAUCGAAGAGAAUUUGUUAAAUUUAGCCGAGACAUAAAUUUUUCUAAAUUCAAAUACUUUGCAGAUUUUCGAAUGCAAAUUUUUUCAUACGAUCUCGGUUGAAUACAAACUUUAUAUCAAAGUUGUAUAUUUAGAUUAUAUAUAAAACUUUGUAGUUGACCUCCUUUUCAUUUAAAAUUUUUUAAUAGCUCAAAACAUUAUUCUAAGCUUUCUAAUUUCAAAAUCUUGAAUUUUAAAUUUUUCAAACGACCUCGGAUGCAAACAAGCUCUAUAUCAAAGUGCUUAAUGAGAUAUAAAAUUUUGUAGUUGACAAGUUUUUUAGUUGAAAACAUUUAGUUAUCACAAACAUACAAGUUCUUCAUUUGAUGUCGAGGAUUGGAAGUGUUGAGUUUGAAGAAUAUAUUCUUUGAUUACAAACUUUUCCAUAUGAUCUUGGAUGAAUACGAACUUUAUUUCAAAGUUGCAAAUUUAGAUUAGACCAAAAACAGUAUAGUUUACAAUUUUUUCAUUCAAAAUUAUUUAGUAGCUCAAAAUGUUAUUCUAAACUCUCUAAUUUUGAAAUCUUGAAUUUUAAAAUUUUCAAAUGACCUCGGAUGCAAACAAGCUCUAUAUCGAAGUGGUAGUUCUUAAUGAGAUAUAAAAUUUUGUAGUUCCAUCUGAGAUCAUUUAACAGUCACAAAUAUACAAGUUUUUCAUAUGAUGCUAAGGAUCAGAAAGAUUAAGUUUGAAGGCUGUAUUUUUUUAAUACAAAUUUUUGCAUACGAUCUCGGAUGAAUACAAACUUUAUAUCAAAAUUGUAGAGCUCGAUGAGAAUUUAAACUUUGUAGUUGAUAUAUUUUUCAUUCGAGAAUGUUUAGUGGUCCAAACAUGUAUUAUAAGUUCAGAGAAGAAACACACAAUCGGCCACGUCAUCAAUUGACAACUUCCAAACUGAGCAUUCCUAUUGGUUCACACCUUUCCCUUUCAACUCGUCAAGCUUAUCUCCUCCCACUCCUCCAUCGUUCACUCCCCCUUCCCCUUCCUCUCUCCCUCCCUCCCUCCGCUCCAGCAGUGGCAGCCCGACCUGCCUCCUAGGACGGUGGUGUGCGGGGCUCGGGCAUCCCUGGCCUCUAGUGGCGUGGCAGGGCGGCCUCCAGCAGCGAUGGCGGAACUCGGCCUCCGGUGGCGCACAGGCAGCGCAGCCUACCUGGUCAAAGGCGGCGCAACAGGGCGACCUCCCCAGCCUCCGGCGGCGCGCAGGGCAUCCAUGACCUCCCCGGCCUCCCUUGCCAGAGGUGGUGCGCGGGGCUGCGCCGACCUCCCCAACCAGAGGUGGCAAGGCCCCAGCUUACGGCGGCGCGUGGCUCCCCAGCUAGGGUGUGGUGGGGCGGCGGCAAGUCAGGCGUGGCCGCGUGGGGGUGGGGGGAGGGGGUUGGGCUGGGCGGAUUCAGAUAGUAUCCAUUUAACCAUCCGAAAUGUGGAUAUCCGUUUAACAAUCCGUUUAGCAAAACCGAAUUUGGAUACUUCCACUUAAGUAUCCAACUAGGAUUCGAAUGCGGAUGGUCCUACCAUAUUGUUAUUUCAGCGGAUACGAAUAUGGGAUAAUUCGAAUAACGACUUACCCAUCCCUGAUUAUAUCCGUGUAAAUAAAUAAUUGCGGCAGCAGGUUCCCGUCGCCACGCCCCCGUCAAACCAAACAAUUGCUUGCGCGACACCGUGUUACUAGAUCUUGUACAGUACUCCCUCCGUUGCAGUACUCCCUAAUGAAAGUUGAGAAUCGAUCGACAACCACGGCUAGUUGCUAUGCACUCGAUCAGAUGGUCCAGGCGCCCGCUGGUAAUCAGGUCGUGGUUCACGCGCAUCAGGCCAGCUAUGACGUUGCCAGCAGUGCUCAGUACACAAAUCUAGCUAUCAGUCGGAUCCAAUUGGGCAGGCAUUUGCACUGUGGUUGUGUUUGAACCUGUAGAUGUCGUUGUCAUUAUCAGGCACCAUACAUCCUCUCUCAGAGGGUGUUUCACCCCCUAAACUUUAGCCCCUCUCACAUCGAAUGUUUUAGAUACUAAUUAGGAAUAUUAAACAUAGAAAAUUUACUAAACCCAUUACAUGGAUGGAGGGUAAACGGCGAGACAAAUCUAUUAAAUCUAAUUAGUCCAUGAUUUGACAAUGUGCUGCUAUAGUAACUAUUUGCUAAUGAUGGAUUAAUUAGACUUAAUAGAUUUUUCUUGCUGUUUAGCCUCCGUCUGUGCAAUUAGUUUUAUAAUUAAUUCAUAUUUAGUCCUCCUAAUUAGUCUCCGAAUAUUUGAUGUGACACGGACUAAACUUUAGAUAGCACACCAGGGACCGACACCAUGCAUGCUGAUUUCAUAUCAUAAUUAAGGAAAGUGAUAUCAUAAUUAAGGAAAGUGGUAGCAUCCAAGAAAUCGAUCAUGUUUCUUCCCCCUUUGGCUUUCCUACUAGGAUUUGGAUAGCGGGCCUUCCUACUAGGAUUUGGAAUCCGCUAUCGCAUGACUAUCUUAAUUAUGUCCCAUAGUCCAAAACUCACAAAACAUCAAAAAUCCAUCGAGAAUAAAUUAAGUAAAAAACAUGCGCACACAGAUAAUAAUAAUAAUAAUCAUGUUUCAAUAAAAUUGCUAAGAUUAGAGAUAGUACAUAAACAUAUUAGAUUGUUCGUGACACAUAUCAUGGUGGAUAGUGUCUGUGUCCUUAUUACAAGCAGCGAUAGAUGCUUGUCACCACACACACGCACGCACAGAUGCACGACAUACAUAUAGUUGAGACCAACGGAUGGACGUCCCAUAGGGUGAAUAAUUUAUUGGAGAUAAAUAUUAACAUAACUUGGCCAUAGCUUGAAGCAUAGCAACAUAUGCUUAUGAAUGGCAUUCAUGCGGGUAGCAAUGCUAUCAUAUGCUUUUAGGCUUGUCCUUAGCUUCUUCCAUCUUAUAGCAAACACUGCCAUUUCUUCCAUCUUAGCAGCAACUGUCAAAUUAAUUGAGAUAUGGAAAUCCCAUUAGCGCAUGAGUUAAUUUUGCAGUGGAAAUAGAGUAGAAGAUGUCUUCAUAAUGUAAGUAAUAUGACUCUGACAUAGGGAGUGAAGUCAACAAAUUACAUUAACGGAAAUGCAUGGAAGGCCACGCAUAUGUAUUAGUCCGAUAUGCUACAAAGCUUGUAUGUACAUAUAAUAAAUUAAAUGCAUUGAAUAGAGUGAUUUUAGUGAAUUUACCUAAAUCGGAUUAAAAAACAUGGGAAACAACAAGUGUUCUUGUAGGGCUUUGUUUAGUUCCCAAAUUGGGAGUAGCAAAGUUUGCAUUUUACCAUAAAUGCGCAACUAUAGCAUGUAGCAUUUUGUUUGUAUUUGUGAAUUAUUAUCCAAACAUUGACUAAUUAGGCUCAAAAGAUUCAUCUCGCAAAGUACAACAAAACUGUGCAAUUAGUUUUUGAUUUCGUCUACAUUUAGUACUCCGUGCAUGUACCGCAAGUUUGAUGUGAUGGGGAAUCUUGCUUUUCAAUAGUGACAAAGUUGGGAUUUCGGGGGGAAGGCCUGUGUCGGAGCCACAUGCAAGAAUGGCUGACAUUGAGGCUCAGACAAAGCCCAAUGGCAACUGCUGACAUGCGAUUAAAUUUAGAUAUCCACAUCCAGCCAUUCACAUUUAUGAGAUAUGGACACGGUGCAAAUGGGUGGGGUCCUGAUAUGGAGGUGCGAAUGGCUGUCUACUUGUAUAGUGUAGCUCCAAUGUACGUAUAUGUAUCUUAUGCAUGUAUACAGUUGCACAAACUCUGAACCAACUCUUCAUAACAGGUCUUUGUUACCAAGUAACUUUACUUUUGCACGUUUCAGCCGAGAGGUAGAAGAGAAUAUUUUUGCAUUUUCCAUGUGCGUCAGUGGUAGAGAACUAGGAAUUAGUUCCGGAUGGUAGGGCACAAAUCUUCCAAACAACUAUCCGAAAUUAAGCAAUCGAGAUAAAGGGUGCCAUCUAUUCUCUCCGAAAAACACAGGUACCAAAAAGAAGAAGAGAAGAGGGAGGGCCUCCCGUUAAGGCCCGCUCGGGGUCUCCAUCCCACCACGCGCCCUCCCAACCCAAAGCCCAUCGUUUUCCCUCCGUCCCUCCCCUCUCCAUUGCCGCCGCCGCUCCCCUCAUCCGAGCUCGAUACGGGUGGUCGGCGGCCCCUCCUCUCCGCUCCCGCCCCCGGCCUCCCUUUGACCGCCGGGCGCCGGCAUCACUGCCGCGGCCAACCCCAGGGCGCAGCGCGUGCCUCUAUUUCUCUCCCCCGUUCAAGGGCCCUUUGAUGGCGACGAGCACCCACCCACCAGGUAUGCCCUCCCCUUCUCUUCCUAACCCUAAUAUAUUCGGAUCUCACCCAGUCACAAUAUAUUACCUAAUAGCUUCGAUUUUGUUUGCAAAAAUCAUCACGUGCGCACCCAUGUCCGCUAGAUUCUUGCGCCUGAUCCUGUGCUGCUAUGGUUUGGGCGGGGUAGACUAGUUGAUUCGUGCACUUUUGGGUGCUUGUAGUGCUAGGUUUUGGAGGGGGAUAGCCCAGUUGAUUCCUCCGUUUUGGGUGCUCAUGGUGAUAGGAUUUGGAUGGGGAUAGCCCCAAUGAUUCGUGCGCCUUUGGGUGCUGGGGAUAGUUUUGGGUGCCUGGAUAGUCCAGUUUCAAUGUCAGUAUAUGCGUAUUUUGGGGAGAAUUUUGUUUUGGGUGGUUCUGGUGCUAGAGUUUCUGAUGCUUAGUAGCCCAGUUUCAAUCAAAUUCCCCCAUGGGUCGUGCACUACGGGAAACAAGAAAAUUGCCGAGUGUAUUUUUUUUGUCGAGUGUUUUUUUUCGAGCACUCAGCAAACAAGCUCUUCGCCGAGUGCCAAGUCAAAAACACUCGGCAAAAAAAAACACUCGGCAAAUCGGGGCUUUGCCGAGUGUCAAAUAAAAAACACUCGGCAAAGAAGGGGGUUUGCCGAGUGUUAAAAAAAACACUCGGCAAACAGGAGGGUUUGCCUAGUGUUUUUUUGACACUCGGCAAAAAAAUAAUUGUUUUUCCUCUUUUCACCUUGAAAUUUUUUCUACUCCCCACAUACAACACGUGGUACUCCAUGUUAAAAUUUGGUAUAUUUUUGGAUUUAUUUGCUAUAUUUAUUUAAUUAAUUGCAUUACAAGGAAAUUUUUGGUAUAAGUCAAAUUUGAACUGCAAGUGAUUCAAAUUGUGGAACAAAAUGAGUAGAAAAAUGAUAUUCAUGUUAUUUGGCUCAAUUUGAGACCUGACCCAUGAAAUGAAAAGAAAUUUCGAACAUCUUGUUCAGGAAACACGACAAUGAACAUGUGGCGGUAGUAUUUUUAAAUUGUAAAAAAAACAAGCAAAGUCUGAAAAUCAUGAGAUUUGUAGUUAUGUGAUGAUAUAAUACGUGGAAGCUGUGGAAAAAAAUUGGAAAGGUUUUGCACAUUUCAUCAUGUACGAUGAUUACAAACCGAAGCAUAUCAGAAGAAGAAUAGUAACUUUGAGAAGGAUUCGAUAAAAUUUAGAGUCGAAGUGACGGUCGAGUUCGGUUUGACUACAAAACUUUUUGUAUAGUCAGUAGAGAACAUAUCUUAUUUCGUGUGAAAAUUUGGUAUUUUUUGAAACUGUUGGAUAUUUUUAAUUUUUUUUUAAAAAAACUUUGCCGAGUGUCCUAGGGUAGACACUCGGCAAAGAAAAACUUUACCGAGUGCCCGCCUAGGACACUCAGCGAACCUUUUUUUAAACCUACCGGCUCCGGCCGGCCCAGCCCACAAACACCACCCGCCCCCCGCCCCCGCGCCUUCUUCCUCACGCCGCCCCCGCCCCCCACCCGUGCCUCCGGACCGCCCCCUCCUCCCCCUGGCCUCCCCUCACGCCGCCCCCCUCCUCCCCUAGCUCCCUCCACCGGCGGCCCUCCCUCCCCCGGCGCACAUCCUCCACUCCUCCUCCCCUUCCCUUCCCUCCCCUCCCCUCCCCUCUUCCUCCCCUGGCCGGAUCUGGCGCCCCUAGCUCCCCUUUCUUCCGCGGCCAGAUCUGGCGCCCUCCCGGCGGCGGGUCGUGGCGAUCGGGGCGGCGGCGGCGGAUCAGGCCGCGGGGCGGCGGCGGCGGCGGGUCGUGGCUACCGGGGCGGCGCCCUGCCCCUCCCCUCCCUCUCCAUCUCCGGCUGCCGUCCACCCCCUCCCCGGAUCCGCCCCCCUCCCCUCCGCGCGGCCAGCCCCUCCUCCCUCUCCGGCCGCCGCCCCGGCCCCUCCUCUCCCUUUCUCCGGCCACCGCCCCGCCCAUCUUCUCUGGAUCCGGCCGGAUCCGGCCGCCGCACAGCCCCUCCUCCCCGGAUCCGGUGGGCGCGGACUUCGUGGUGGUGGCGCCGGAUCCCUCCCCUCCCUCUCCAGAUAACUCCCUCCACUCCUCCGCUCUUCCCCUCUCUCGCGCGGCGGCCUCUCUCCGGCCGCCGCCCCGCCCCUCUCCCCGGAUCCGGGGGGGGGGGGACUCCGCCCCUCUGCCCCGGAUCCAGCUCCCCGACCCGCGAGUGGGGCGAGCUUGCUCAUGCGGUCGACGUCGAGGCCAGGGUGUGGUGGAGGUGGUGGCCGGCGGGUGUGGUGGUGGUGGCGGCGGCGGGCAUGGCGGCGCGGAGGCAAGGCACGGCGGCCGGUGGGAGGCACGGGUGCAAGGCGUCGACGGCAGGAGGCAAGGCACGGCAGCAUGGGAGGUGGUGCUGUGGUGGUGGUGCUGGCGGUGGUGGCGGCGGCGGAGCAGGAUGUGGUGGUGGCGGAGGAUGUUUUUUUUUCAAAAAUUUGUUGCCGAGUGUUUUCUCGGCACUCGGCAAAGACUUUACCGAGUGCCCGACACAAAACACUCGGCAACUCAGUGUUUGCCGACUGAAAAAUUGCCGUGUGCCGUUUGCCGAGUGUUACACUCGGCAAACGGUUCGCCGAGGGUUUUUUGCCCUUCGCCGAGUGCCCCUAGCACUCGGCAAUUUCACUAUCUCCCGUAGUGGUGGCUGGACUUAUGGGGGGAUCAUUGAUGGGGGACUAGUUGGAUACUUUUUGGCUGUUUUGGGAGUCCUUGGCAGCGGCUUCUCAGGGCGUACGUAGCCCAUUGUAGAUUCCAGCCGAGAAGAUUAAGGAAUUGUGACUGCAACCAUGUUACUUUUCUAGGACUCUGUUUCUGAUAUUGUUCCCGCUGCAUCUUUUCAUCCCCAUGGUGAAUGUUGCUGUUGAUCUGUAGAUUGGAUUUGUUCCUCGGUAGCUUUAUUAGAUUUGUGCUGAAUGAUAAUCUCUGCCUGUGAUAUUUUUCUUCAUUGCGGAUGUGUGCCGAGUAUUAUCCCCUUUGUUCAUUCUGUUGGCUUUUUUUAUUGUCUCUGUACUCGGCUGUUCAGCUUGUGCAGCUAAUGAUCUAAUGUAUUUUGUCGUAACUAUGUAUUUUUCGGAUGUGUGCCGAGUAUUAUCCCCUUUGUUUAUUCUGUUGGCUUGCUUUCAUUGAUCUUAAGAUAACUGGUGCUAUAAAUUCACACUAGCUGAUGCACUUGCAAAUAGCUAUGUAAAUAUGAAAAGAAGUAUUUUUUUAUCCUUUUGUUUGUUUGGCAUCAUAUCUGUUUAAAUGGCAUAGCAAUAAGAAUUUUUUGUUUUUGGGGAAUCAUAUCUGCUUAAAUGGUAUAGAAAAUGCUGAGUGCACUGUCAAAUAGAUUUUCCAGCAGUCUGCUUUCAGUUGUUUUUGCAAAUCCUCACAGGCCAGUGAACUGACUUUGUUUUUACCACCCCAUGCCAUUUAAAUGACUAAAUCAGUCAGCCUAAUACUAUAUAUGGUCAUGCUAUGAUCUUAUUUCUUGAAGCUCUAUAGGUCAACCCAUAAGGGUAACUUAGUUUUUCCUAUUCUGGCUGGGGAAGUGGAUACGAUGGCUAUCCUUGGUAGAGUUAAAUACAUUGGCGGCUCUUAGCGCGCCAAUGUGGCACCACAAUAUCGAACAUAUGUAGAAACCCCCUUGUUUUUUCUCAUAUCCCUCUCUCUCAGCGUCCUCUUCUCUUCUUCUCCUCUGUCUCCUCCCCUCCCAUCGCGUGCUUUAUUGCGCCGCCGCCAUCCGCCUCCAUGUAUGAACACGUCGUUUGUCAUGAAGAAGCAGUUGAUGAGGCAAUCAAGCAUGUGGUGCACAAGGUUCUUCUGCUGGCCAAGUCCGAGUCGAACAGCCGCGCAUUCAUUGGGGAAGCACGCGCCAGGCAUCACCAGGCUCCUCGUGCCCCUACUCUGCUCCAAGGACUCGGUGCUUCGACGCGCUGCUUUCCCUGUCCGGCGAGCGGGGAUCGUUGGGAGAUGAUCGAUGGAGGAUGGAGCUGAUCCUCCUGUACACGGUGCCGGUGGGGAGCAGGGAGCUGCGGAGCAGGUCCACGGGCGGCGCCAUUACAGCAGGUGCAGGCUAAGGGUAAUGAGCAGAUCGAGGCGAUGGAGGAGGACCCGCACGAGGUGCAGCUUCUUCGCCUCCUGCGCAAAGUCAGCGCCCAAGCAGCCGCUGAGGGACAGGCCGAGGCUUAGCUCGAUCUCAUCCGACUAAAUGGUGGCUGCACUCCCACAGUCCCACUGGUGCUCCUCCCUUCUGUCCGAACCUGCCGAGGAAAUCCCUCGAUGCCAUGGGUCCCGGCUGGACGACUACUCCUCCCACAGAUUGACUGAGGAAGAAGAGCUUCUCAGUGUCCAAAAAUUCAGUUACACUGGAAACAGCAACCAAUUACGUUCUUCCGGCUCAGCCAAGCCCCAAUCUCCUUGCUUCUGUGCGCCCCUGCUAAAUAUUCCAGAAACCAAUCUGGUUAGUUGUUUUUUCACAUUUUCAGUGCAUGCCGGUGCUGCUGUGUGCGGCAUGCAUGGAGUUGUCGUGGGAGUGCACGGUGGCUUAGCUGGUGCGCCAGUGCGCGGGCACGAACACAACGGUGAAGAUGGCAGGGCCAUCUCAAAGCUCCUGAGCACCUGCACGCGUCGCUGAGCAGGACAUGCUGCGACGGUGGGCGAGCGCUGCUAACGCCCUGGGGAAGAGCAGUGGGUGCAGAGAGAGGGAGCGAGGGAGAGGGGUUCUUGUAUAUGUUUGCUAGCGUGGCACCGUUUACGGUGCCCGCCUAAGUGGCAUUCACGUGUCAUUCAUCCCAAAUGGUGUUGCAAGGUUGAACCUAUUGUGGGAGGCUUUUGGUUUCCCUUGACAGUAUCACCAGUGAUAUCACUGCGUUCUGGUUAUGUAUGAAACACUUGUCCUUUUAAAACCUUUCUGAAUUUAGAAACGAAUUUGAAACAUUACCCUCAUUUCCAUGUUUUUCUAUCUUUUGUCCCUGUAAAAUCAAACUAAAUUUGAAUUAUUAUGUUCAGAACUACAAGCUGAUUUACUUGUCCCAUUUGCUAAUAACAGGGCCUUGUGAUUUCUAAUGAACAUUGCAGAGCAUGUUAUAAAGCGUAUGCAUGAACACCAAGGGGAUGAAACCAUUGGUAUAUUUCUCACAACCUUUUGAACUUAUCAUUUAGCAUAUUUGUGUUCUAGUGUGACGUUUCAGCCACGAGACAUGAGAAAUGUUAGCUAUGGAUUUUGGUUAUUCAUCAUGGGUUCACAGAUUUGUUUUUCUCUAAAAGAAUUGGGAAGUAGCUUUCUUUCUGGGUAUAUGUGGGGAAAUGCAUAUGCAAUCUUUUAUUUAUUGAGGUGACUGUAAAAUUCUUGUCUGACUGAAUAUGCGAUUUCAACCUACAUGCUAUACUUAGGGAAAUUUGUGAAUCUCCUAAUGUCUGCUGCAUGGCAUGAAUGCAUAUUUUACUGGUCCAUAAUGUGAAGUUCUGUAUAUAAACUUCUCGUGUUGACCCUUUAGAACAUGCUAACUGGAGAGUUUUCUAGAGUAGUUAAACAAGAGAUUUAGUUAAAUCUGCACACAUAGGUGGGGCCUGGCAUACCCUAAGAAUCGGCCUAGCCGGUCAGCCCAUUAGUAAAAAAAAAAGCACCGCAGUCAGCAGUCCCCACGUUGGUCUUCCUCGAGUCGCGACUCGCGAAGCUCCCAUCCUCCGAGUCCAAGAUGGUGGACUGUGUCGAGCGCGGGGCGGGCGAUUAGUUGCCCGGCCGCCGGCGGGGGAUGGCCGGACGGCCAGAUCGCCGACUCCUCUAGUCCUCCCUCCAGCCUCUGCGCUUCUUUCACAGUGGAGCUAGCGGCGAGGCGCCCGACCGACACCCUUCUUCCCAAAUCCCGGCAGCCCUACCUCGAUUUGGCCUCCUCCGAUCAUUUGAUAAUCAAUUUGAUGAAAUUAAUAUGGAGUUGCUUUCUUGUAUGGUUGCCUUCAAUCCUGCUAAUUCAUUUGCUUCAUUUGAUGCACAAAAGAUACAUAGACUUGCUAUAUUUUUAUCCACAAGACAUCACAAGCACGGAUUUGCUAAAACUUGAAUUCCAGCUCGAUAUUAUAUUGAUGAUGUGAGAUAGGAUGAUAGUUUCAAAGGCCUACAAGAUCUUGUUAACUGAGACUCAGUUAAGCUUGUUGAAACAAACAGGCAUAAUAUUUAUGACUUGGUUUACUUGCUUCUCAAAUUGGUAUUGGUUCUUCUUGUGGCGACAGCUAGUGUUGAAAGGGAUUUUUGUGCAAUGACUUUGAUCAAGAGUAAGCUAAGAAAUAAGAUGGGUGAUAGUCUUUUGGAUGAUUGUCUUAUCACAUUCAUUGAGAAAGAUAUUUUCUUUGAAGUGGAUGAAGAAGAUAUAAUUAAGACUUCAUAUCCAUUAGAAAUCGUAGGCUGGAGAAGAAGUAAUAUUUUAAUUUUCUUUGAACGUUAGGUCUGUAAGCUUCUUUUAAACUAUCUACAUUAUAAUUUAUGGACCUUUUAAUUUAACCGUUGAAUUCAUGAUAUUAUGAGAUUUUUUUAUCUAUGUUAUUAUUGUUUACCGAUUUAUUACCAAAUUAUUAGUUUGAUCUUACAAUAUUGUAUUUUGGAUGAUUGGCUCGGCAUACUCUAAGUUUAAAUCCUAGCUCCGCCACUGUUUGCACAUUAAUGUGGCUUAUAUGUGUGGAGUCACUUAACCUAUGCACUUGGACCUCCACUCCCUUAGGUUUUAUGAACCUAAUUUGACAGCCUGCUCGUCUUUUAUUUUCUACCAAUCAGCUAGGAACGAACAUGGUGAUGUUUGCAUCUCUGCCAUCAAUGGCUUACAUGUCAUUAUGUAUCACAUUAGCAAGUCUUGUUUUGUUAUUGGCUGGGAUGACGGGGACUCUAGCUGGAAUUGAAUCAAAGUGGUAGAUCACAGGGUAUUCAUUGCCAUGUAUUUCUGCAGUUGCAUGGACUUGCAUCAAACGGACCUUCCUACUUAUGUGAUUGUCCUAUAUGAUCUCCUUUGAUUUCAUUUGCACACUGUAAUCACAUUAGCUAGAACACUCGCUUUUUGCUUCAAAUUUGAAAUUCAUAUCAUGAUGGACUAGAACGCUGAAUUUCUUGAUUGCUGAGUUACUAAUCACAUUGUGGCGCUGCCAAAGAAGCUGGACUCUUCAUUGUUGUUGCCUUGUGGGCUGCCGUGUGCAAAGAACAAGAGCGCACGGUAUUAUAAUAGCAGAGCAGAACACAGACAAGCGACAAGGAGCGGAGCAGAGCAGAGCACAGCCAGGCACAAGCAGUAGAGUAGAGCAGAGCAACCGGGAGAGGAGAGGGCACAUAUGCAGAGUAGAGCAGAGCCAAGCGCAAGCAUUCAUGCACUCAAGCAUGCAGCAGAGGUGUAGCAAGGCAAGCACAAGCAGCAGAGCAGAGGGAAGGGAAGGCUGGGAGAUGAAUAGGCGAAUAGUUACCUGGACAGAGCAGAGGGAAUGGAGAUGAUGCAGAUGCUUCCGGAGACUCGAGAUUUGGAGAGGAACAAGGCCACGUUGUGAACAAGGUCUCCUUUCUCUUCUCUAUUUCCCGCGCAAGUACUUGUGCAUAGUGGCUGCCUCAUCCUCCAGGACGUCCACUUCAACCUGAGGCGGGUGCCACAGACAUCCUGGCUAUGCGACGGCUACCCCCAGCACACCCCCGGCGCCUAUGAACCAUGAUCCUAAUACUAUAAAUUGUCAACCUUGUAAUCUUAUUUCAAGCAUGCUCUCUAUGUCAACCUGUAAGGUUAACUUCGUUUUUCCUUUUCUGGGUAGGGGAGUGGAUAUUGCUGUUAUUUAUAUUAUGUUGAUAUUGGUUUCCACAUGUCAUUCACCCCAAAUGUGUUGCAAGGUUGAACCUAUCAUCGGAGGAAUUUUUUUCCCUUUACCUUUAUAUCACUACGCUCUGGUUAUGUAUGAAACACUUGUCUUCUUAAAAACCUUAAUUUAGAAACAAAUUUGAAACACUAUCUUCAUUUACAUCCUGUAUGUGUUUUCUACCUUUUGUCCUAUAUGAUCUGCUUUGAUUUGAUUUGUGCAUAGUUUUUUCAAUUCAGACCUGGUGAUUUCUGAGGUUCAUGUUGUGCUGAUAAGCAGCCUACUAUUCAGUAACACUUUCAUGUGGCAUGUUCAUGUUAGCUAGCUAGAAACACUGCUUUUAGCUUCAAAAUUCAAAUUCAUGACAUGAUGGACAUUGACAAUGAAUUUCUUGAUUGCCGAGCUAUGUACACUGUAAUUCAGACCUGGUGCUUUUAGUUUUUUUCUUGAUUGCCGAGCUAGAAACACUGUGCUUUUAGUUUUUUCAAUUCAGACCUGGUGAUUUCGGUUUUUUCAAUUCAGACCUGGUGAUUUCUGAGGUUCACGUGUCACACCGAUUUUAAGAACAAAAUCGAGUGCAUUAAAUAUACAUGUACGCUAGGAUCAGGUUACACACAUGUACGACAUAAGCGAAUAUCAAAGACAAUGCCAUAACGAAAUAAAGAGAGUAUUAAUCAUUAUUACAUGACCGAAAGUCUCAAAUAAACCACAAAAUCUAUUUAUUACAUAGCGGAACUUCUAAGAUAGCAACGUCUCCACAGGCAGCUGACUGAAGAACUGUAUGCCUAGAACUCUUCAAAAUCGUGCAGGUACUCCUCCAGAUUAGCUUGGUAUGAACAACGGUUUUGCAAGGGUGAGUACACUUAUGGUUGGUACUUAAUAAGUCGUGGGAAACAAUGUAGUGUAAGGCAAAUCAAGGUAUGGCUAAGGCUUAAACAGCAUCAGCUUUUAAUUUAGUUGGUCAAAUUUUAUUAGCAAUUAAUUAGACGUAAAUUUAUACCACCCGAAAUUAAACAAGAACAUGAAUAAAAUAAUAACAUAACCAUAAAUGAAAUGACAACAAUUUAAAUCCAUCUUUUCAUAGCAUUAUCAUGUGAGGGUCCAGUCCGUUCUUAACCGUGAGCACCGCUGAUCGAUCAGUUUUACACUCUGCAGAGGUUGUACAUCUUUACCCACAAGUCGCGUAAAAGUUCAAAAGAAUUUUGGACCCAACCAUGCGGUAUUUGCAAGGCACCAUACCACACUUCCAAGGUGUGAUUGCAUAUGAACGCUACGAGGCCUUUACAAAGAUUCAUUAGUAAGUGGUAACCCGCUAAGGUUUCGGUAUUUGGCGUGCACAACCUAUCACAGGCCGCUAAUGCAACGACUCAGUCCCCCCUCUUGCCUCAUCACGAGUAAGAUUACCCCAGACUAAGGUUUCUAAUUAUUCAGCCAAGAUCAGAACCAUUUAGUCUUGUGGUAGCACUGUUUUCCUGGGUGGUUCUCCAUGUUCCGAUUAAACAUAAUGGUCUUGUAUUAAUGGAAGGUAUAACAUAAAUAAUACCAAAUUAAUAAUAAUUCAGAUUAAAUCACCAUAACCAUAUUUGAGCACUAAGCAUGAGCUACCCAACAUAAAUUUAACCCGGUUGGUCAAGGCAAGGUAGAUAAAGUCUAGGAAAUUCUUAAUUGGGACCCAUCAAGUUUAAAUUAUACUUUGCAUGGUAUGUUGCAUAGAACAUGAAAGUAAAUGUGAAUAGGACUGAAAAGGAGUGAUUAGGGACACGACUUGCCUUUUUAACCUUGUUCUUGCUGUUCGUACUCUUCGAAAACUUUGAUCUUCAAAUCCCUUGAACUGCUGACCGUCUACACGCGUCACACGACCACAUACAAGCAAACAAAUAUAAUACAUAAGAAAACAGUACACCAAUCAUAAUUAAAUAGAAGAAACAAAUUUGAAAAGCUAUUCUACGCAUUAAAACGAAAACACGGAUACAAGGAACGUUAAAAACGGAGCUACAGUGCAAAAACUACGCUUAAAACAAGAUGCAGGGGUAUAACUACGAGAAACCAAACUUCCAGGGAUUUAAUUUUAAAUAAUUUUGAACUGCAGAAGGGGCAGCAGGGCAAAACGUAGAAAAUGCAGGGGCUUAAGCGCAAAAGCAUGGCUGCUGACUCAGCUGACUUGAUGUGGAUCGUCGGAUGGCGAUCCGGCGGCCGGCAGCUGCUGCGCUGACGUCAGCGACGGCGAGCGCCGGCGAAAAACGGCAGUUCGCCGGAAUCGCCCGGGAACGCGCGACUGGGUGCAGAUUUGAGCGAGGAUUAGACUAGCAGAUAGAAACGAGCGCAGUGAACUCAUUUGGGAUGCCUACGGCGAGGACUUGGCGACGGCAUCGGCUCCGGCGAGAACUUGCGGCAGGGAAACCAAAUAAAAUAAAAUAACACGGUUCAGAGAAGCGGCGCUGGAGGAACGCGAGCGAUUUUGCGUGCGAGCGGAAGAAAACACUGCGAGGAAGAUGACUGCGGGCCCUGCUUGUCUGCGGCAGGAGGAGAGCUGCGUGCGAGAAGAACCUGGCCACGAUCUGGGCCGUUGCCUUCGAUCUGGGCCGAGGCAAGCUAGCUGGCCCGCUGCUGCGGAAAGGUGCUGGGCCACGGGCGGAGCACAGCGUCGGGCCAGAAAGGAGAUGGCUGCUGCGAGGAAACAAAAGAAAAUGAACUGGGCUGCGACAGAGGAAAACUGGGCGUCGGCCAGAAAGAAGCUGCGUGCAGCUUGCUCUUGUUUCCGAACUAGAAACAGGAACUGACGGAAAGACAGAAAUCAAUUGGAGACUGAAACUGACGCCCCAGACUCUGAACUUCGAAAAAACAGGACAACCAGCCAACUGACAGAAAAAAAAAAGCUUAACAACCCAAAAGCAGUACACAACCACGAAACCAGGCCACAAGACUGAAAAAGCUUGAUAGGAACAUCUGGCGACUGAACCAAAAAACUACAGAACUGCAACUGAAGAACUAGAGAACAGAUAAAUAACUGAUUGAACUCUGAAACUGAAACACCAAAGAGCAGGAAGCUGACUGACGGAAAAUGCAAAACAGCAACCCAAGGUGAAACACAAAUUCUUCUUCAAGCAUUCAAACAAAGAGAUAUGCAACAGCAUGAAUGCUCAAUAAAAUCCUAUAUUUCAUUAAUUAAUUAGAAAAAAUGCUCAAAUGCCUAGAAAAAUGCAAAAGUGACCUUAUAUGCCUUAAACAAGCAAAUUCGUUUCUAGCGAUUUUUGGUAAAAUGCAAAAUUAGAGAUUUUGGGUGUUACAUCAUGUUGUGCUGAUAAGCAGCCUACUAUUCAGUAACACUUUCAUGUGGCAUGUUCAUGUUAGCUAGCUAGAAACACUGUGCUUUUAGCUUCAAAAUUAAAUUCAUGACAUGAUGGACAUUGACAAUGAAUUUCUUGAUUGCCGAGCUAUGUACACUGUAAUCACAUUGUGGGGCUGAUAAAAUAAGCAGCGUUGAGACACAUAACAAUUGAAUCUUAAGCUUCACACAGAAUCUGGACCAGUCAUCCUCAUUCCUGUCAUGCUGGAAAUGUCUUUGAUACAUUUCAAUCACAGGCAAUUGAAUUCGUACUGGGGAGGAUGGCAAUGGUGCAUGAAGAGAGAUCAAUGUGGCAAAUCUCACAUUGUUCAUUACCAGGUAUCUCCGAUUUCUGGUUAUUUUAAAUUUACCUUGACAUGUGACUUAUUGAGGUAUUGUAUUUCAUCUAAUGGUAGUUCUGAAUUUAUGGUAACCUUGGAUGGGGUUUGUCACUUUAUACACGCACGGACUUACAAAGGACAGCAAAUGAGUAUAUUUAGAGGGCUCCUGUCCAACCAUGGACUAUACUUAUGUACCCUUUUUUGACAUGGUAAUUUGAGGUUAAUGGAAAAGUAGCGAUAGUCGCCUCCAGCGAAGCUACCUUCUUCGAAAGCUCCGAGGCUGCUUUCUCGCUCUUAGCAAGCCGAUCCCUCGUAAUCAUCGAAGAGUAAGAGACCUACAGAUUUUAAAAACCAAGUUACCAAAAAUAACGAAGUAAAAGACAACACUCGCAAGACAAACCACCAAACUAUCUCAUAAUUGUACCUUCUUUACGAGGUUCGCCUCCAAGUUAAAGAGCUCUUCCAAGAUCAUUGACUUCACAGCUUGCUGAAAAUCUAUGCGCCAAAGGAUAUAGUCGUAAGCAUAAAAUAAAAAUUGGUAAAAACCAAGGACAGCAAAGCCAUCUACAAGCUGUUCUUACCCUCAUACUUUCGCACCUCAACGGCGAUCGGAACAACCUUCUCUCUAGCCUCGCCCUUAGACGCCACCACAAUCUUCCCGCCACACAAAUCCACAACCCCUCCUUUACCUUUGCCCUCUCCCGAAGUCGUCGUGCCCGCCUUCUCCACCCUUUUUGAACCGCCAACAUCUGCAUAGCGCUCGCAACCUUCACCUUCAGCCCCCCAGACCAAAGACAGGUUGUGAGGAUUAUAAACCCUACCUUCGGCGCAUGUAGCUAGAAUCUCCGUGCGCCCGCUCAAGCCCAGACACUCAUUCAGUCCCUGAAGCCCCGCCGGCAACCUCUCACCUACAUCAUAACAUUCAACUUUUAGCCUCACAUGAUCCUCACAACUAACCUUACCAACGCCCCCCAUAGUUUCUUCCAAGUCCUUCAAAAAUUUCGUUGAGGCCUCACCACAAUCAAAGAACCGUAGCAUCGAUAGAAACACCUCUACAUGCUUACCAGAUCUCACAGCUUCGGCACACCCACCCUUUGGAUCAGAUGAGAACGCAUCCACAAGCUUCGCCUUUUCGGUGGCAAACCCCCUCUCAAGUUUCCCAACAUCAGUCAAGAGAUGUUGCGCGCUCUUAAACUUCGAGCUUAUGGAAGGCACCGUGAUCUUGGUACCAGCUGCCGAAGACGCGUCAACCUUGGCACCCGUAACAGUAACAGGAGCAAAUCGAGGUUUCUUGGCGCCUCUUUUGAUCCGUGCGGCGGGCCCGGUGGAUGAAGGUGCAAGAGCUGGAACCUCCUUAGGAGGGCGCAUAGAGACAGGAACAACAUAUGCCGGAUUGCUCAAGUCGCCAGACGAAGCUGUCGACCACGAUGGCAACAUAGCAGACGAAGCCCCCGCGGUCAUUUCCUUCCUUUUUUGCGCCUCCAAAUUCAAGGUCUUUUGCUUCGCCUUAGCGGUCACUUGCAAUUCAAUAGUGAGCUUCACCAUGGGUACGAAGUCAAAUUUUGCCUUUUUCCUCUGCUCAAGACUAGCACCGCGACGGCGCCUCUUGCCCGUAACUUUGGGGUGAGGCAGAACCACAAUAUCAUACAAGUCAAAAAUCUAAGAUGAUGACAUUCCAUUUGUAUCCAUGAUUUAUAUUGUGUUCCUUGAAUAUCCAUUAAAGUCUACUUGAAUUGAUUUGCAAUUAUGUGAAUUGUAUGUGAAACUCUUUCCUUGUAUGGUUAUUCUAAAGUUGUCCCUAGUCGGAGUUCAUGUGAGGACACAUGAAUAUUAGACUAGCACAUGUAUUAGUUGAUGACUAUGUUUCACAAGUCAUGGACAUGAAGAUGUGGAACUAAUAAUGUGGGCACAUGUGGAGACACGUGCUAGGACUGACCCAACACGAGAAGUAGUUCUCUCUUUAUACAACAUAUACGCUUUGUCCUUAGACCUGAGAUUGUCGCAUGUACUCAAGAUGUGGAUCGACUUACUUAGGGGCUAUCAAAUUCUACGCCGUAACAGGGUAGUUAUAAAGGUAGCUUUCGGGUUUGUCAAGAAGCAUGCUAUGAGACAUGGUCAAUCAAGAUGGGAUUUGCCCCUCUCUGAUUGAGAGUGAUAUCUCUGGGCCCCUCGAGUGAUCGGAUCCGAAAAUGCAUGGCCAUGCUACAUACGAUUAAGAGUUAGCCUACAAAAGGAUUCCGAAUCAUAGGAUCGAGAAAGAGCGGUCGGCUUGAAGCUAGACCAAAUAUCGUGAGGCAAAGGGAAUAGCAUGUAUAUAAUGUUGUGAUGGUUCGUCUGAUAUGAUCUUCGUGUGCGUAUAGGAGUUGGCACGUCUUGCUAGAGGUCGCUACCGACUAUUGGGCCGAGUAGGAGUACUCAGGCCAUGUCUAUACGUAUCCGAACCCAUAGGGUCACACACUUAAGGGGCUGGAAGCCCAAUUCGGAUGUGAUCCGAAUUGGAUUAGGUUUAGAAGUACUAAUGGGCCUUGGACCUAGAGGCCCGUUAGGAACCUCUAUAAAUAGAGGGGUGGGGGCGCCCUAGGGUUUACACCUUUUUGGUGAAACACAUCUGCCGCGCCUCCCACGCCUUCGCCUGUUGCAACUCGCGGACCUAGCAGUCCGGCUUGCGACGCUUCCUCCCUGCACGUGUGGAUACCUUGGAAGUGUUGCUCCUGCAGCACUUGGACGAGCCGCCAACGAGCCACGACGAGCCACGAUGAGCCGACGAUGAGCCGCGGCACGAGGGGGAUCUUGCUGCACGUGGACGAGCUGCUGAGGAGCUGCUGGACGUCGAUGUGUUCGACUACGUACGACUACGCUGAUCGACUUCGCUGCAUCAACGCGAAUCUACAUCUUCCGCAUCAUUGCAUCGAGUGGUAAUCCCGUGAUCCUGAUACGGCAGUUUUCCUAGUUUACGCGGUAGAAAAUUUUGUUUUGUGCUAGUGUAGCCUAACUCAUAUCCCAACAACGUGUGCUAUAGGUCACGCAAGCCUGAAAAUGGCCACACCGGACACCGGGUACGAAAACAUGGGGGAUGGACCGAACAUUUGAAAAUGGCCUCCAUAUGUGUUUUCGGCUAUGAAAAUGUGUGUUAUAGGUCACAGAAGCUUGAAAACGGCCGCACCAGCCACUAGGGACGAAAACGUGGGGGAUGGACCAAAGACAUAAAAAAUAGCCUCCAGACGCGUGUUCGGCCAUGAAAACGUGUGGUAUAGGUCCUGGAAGGCCAAAAACAGCUACACCGGCCACCUGGGACGAAAAAGUUUGUGUAAGACCGAACACUUGAAAAUAGCCUCUGGACGCGUGUUCGGCUAUGAAAAGGUGUGUUAUAGGUCACACGAGCCCCAAAACAACCACAGCGAACACCAGCUACAAAAACAUGGGGGAUGGAUCGAAUAAUUGAAAAUGGCCUCCAGACGUUUGUUCGGCCAUGAAAUCGUGCGUUAUAGGUCGCGGGAGCCCGAAAACGGCCACACCGGCCACCGGGAAUGAAAAUGUGGGGGAUGGACCGAACAAUUAAAAAUGGCCUCCGGAUGUGUGUUCGGCCAUGAAAACGUAUGUUAUAGGUCACGGGAGCAUGAAAACGGCCGCACUGGCCACUGGGGACGAAACGUGGGGGAUGGACCGAAGACGUGAAAAUAGCCUCCAGACGCAUGUUCGGCCAUGAAAAUGUGUGCUAUAGGUCAUGCAAGGCCAAAAACAGCUGCACCAGCAACCGGGGACGAAACCAUGGCUGUCAAACCGAACGCUUGAAAAUCGCCUUCGGACGCGUGUUCGGAUAUGAAAACAUGUGUUGUAGGUCACGCGUGCCCGAAAACGUCCACAACGGACACCGGGUACAAAAACGUGGGGGAUGGAUCGAAUAACUGAAAAUGACCUCCGAACGCGUGUUCGGCCAUGAAAACGUGUGUUAUAGGUUGCGGGAGCCCAAAAAUGGCCACACCGGCCACCGAGGAUCAAAACGUGGGGGAUUGACCGAACAAUUAAAAAUGGCCUCCGAUUGUAUGUUCGGCCAUGAAAACGUGUGUUAUAGGUCAUGGGGGCCCAAAAAUGGCCGCACCAGCCACCAAGGACGAAAAUAUGGGAGAUGGACCAAAGACAUGAAAAUGGCCUCCAGAUGCAUGUUUGGACAAAAGUGUGUGCUAUAUGUCGUGCAAGGCCAAAAACAGCUACACCAGCCACCGGGACAAAAACGUGGGUGUUUGACUAAACAAGUGAAAAUGGCCUCCGGAAGCAUGUACGGCUAUGAAAAUGUGUGCUAUAGGUAAUGGAAGGCUAACAAAAGCUACACCGGCCACCGGGGACAAAAUCAUGGGUGUCAGACUGAACACUUCAAAAUGGCCUCCGGACGCGUGUCCGGCUAUCAAAACGUGUGUUAUAGGUCAUGCGAGCCCGAAAACAACCACACUGAACACCGGGUACAGAAACAUGGGGGAUGGACUGAAUAACUGAAAAUGGCCUCUAGACGCGUGUUCGGUCAUGAAAACAUGUGUUGUAGGAUGCGGGAGCCCGAAAACGGCCACACCGGCCACCAGGGCAUGGACCAAACAAUUGAAAAUGGCCUCCGGAUGUGUGUUCGGCCAUGAAAACGUGUGUUAUAGGUCACGGGAGCCCAAAAAUAGCCGCACCGACCACUGGGGAUGAAAUCGUGGGGGAUGGACCGAAGAUGUGAAAAUGGCCUCCAGAUGCGUGUUCGGCCAUGAAAACGUGCGCUAUAAGUCAUGUAAGGCUAAAAAUUGCUACACCGGGACUAAAGCAUCCCCCAUGAGUUACAAUAAAAGGAUUGUAUCCUCUACUCAGUCGGAUGUACUGUGUAGGUGAGAUGGUAAGGAAGCUAUGCGCGAGGUUUGAGGUUGUGGGUUGAAAUCCUACGCACCGCGCGCACACGCGCAUAUUUUGUGUGAAAAAUCAUGUGACUUGUGAUCGGCCAAGGAGAAGUGGGUGCAGCUGUGGCUUAAGUGGCUGAGGCACGCUGCCAUAGACAUCUCCGAUUUGCUCGAAGACUACCAAGACACUAGCAAUAACAAGAACUACUGCUCUUCCUAGCAGACUCUUUACAACCACUUUAAAGCUGUGCAUUUCUCAAUGUAAUUUCGUAGAAGGCAAUCGAUCCAACCAAGCGACUAAAUCAUUUGUUCUUGCCAAUGAUGUACAUCAGGUUUUCUAUAUGAAGGACAUGUCUAGCAAACCUAAGAUUUUAGAAGAAAAAGAAAAAUUAUGGGAGUCAAUAAUAAAUCAGGCCAAUCAGGAGAUUAUAGUAAGCUCGAUGGUAUGCCUCCAUUCGAUGUCGAAGUUGGCCCAAGCAUCAUGUUAGCCAAAGAUCAAAUGUUCGUGCAUUGCUACGGUAAAGAUCAAUUGUGUCUUUUAAACCCAUGGAAUUUUUUAUCUAUGUUUUUAUUACACUUAAUGGAUGUCUACACAUUUGCUAGAAAAUCAAAAUAAUUUUGACUUAAUUAUUUCUUUCAACUCAAAUACUCAUUAAAUUUCUACCUUUUUAUUUAAGCAAGAGAGUUGCUCAAAAAAUGGAUACGUAACCAUGUUGUAUCAUACAAAGCAACCACAUUUCACAUAUAGUCUGGCUUAGCAAACACCAUUGUUGUCUUAACAUAGUGUUCAUGAGUUAGUAGACAUGGAUCUAUUUCUAAUUGCAAGUAGUGCAGCGUACAACCAGCCUGCACCGCCGCAGCUCAAUAUGCGAUAAUUUUUUAUCUUCCCAUGUAAUUUUUCUACUCUAGUACAUAUUGAACUCCACAUAAAUGUCAUGUUCUUUCACGCCACAGACGGUUUCUAAAGUUUGGAACUAAAUAGAUAGCCAAAAAUUUUAAAAAAAUAUUUAUAUGGAUACAUGUAUGUUCUUUGCAAACUAACAAUAUUGUUUACAAUAUCAAAAGGAAUAUGGCUAUGAUCAUUGCCGCAUAUGGCAGGUGAUGGUAGAUGCCGUAUGGGGUUUCUUUAACUUAAUUGUAUAAUAAGCUGAAAUACAUUUUCUAUUUGCAAAUGAAUCAUAGCUGAAAGUGGUGGGAUUGUAGAACCGCCGGCCAUCGUGUCCUUGUAGGACCGCUGCACGAGCCUGUGAGCCACCAGCCACCAUGCGCCCAAGGGCCAUCACCACGCCAUAAGAGGAUGCUGUCUACCCGGUUUCGCGCGCCUGUGCUAGCUGCCUGAACCUGGGCCGCCGCCGGUCGCCUGCCCAGCCGCGCGUUGCGCCAGGGUUUUGCUGGUGACGACCAUGGCCUUCGCGAUCAAAUUAAAAAGUUAUCAACUGCAAAGUAUUAGGUCUCGUUGAGCUCUACAAUUUUGAUAUAAAGUUUCUAUUCAUCCGAGAUCAAAUAAAAAAUUUGAUACUCAAAGCAUAAAUCCAUUAAUCUAGUCUUGCUAAUCCUUACCACCAAAUAAAAAACUAGCAUGUGUUGUGUGUUUGUGACCCUAAACGAUCACAAAUGAAUAACUUAUGGGCCUUGCUAGCGCCCGGAUGUCCAGGCCGGGGCACUAGCAUCAGACCCACGAGUAGCCGUCCGAUCAGGUUCGACACCACUUCAGGAUCUGGCUUAAAAAGAAGUCCCACCGAAACAUUGUUCCAUGUUGCAUGAAGCAACCCACUACCGUCGCCAGGUCUAGAGCAAGCACCACCUUCAAAUGUGCUGCUCACCCUAGCUAAAUAGGGGCAUUAAAAUAUUUCUCGCAUAUCCUUCUCAAAUUAAACAAAAUCGCAACAUCUGAAAAUUUUUACAGAAAACCAUGAAACAUAUCGAUUAGAUAGAUGUAACAAGAUGGAAUAUGGUAUAUGCAACAUAUAGGUUCCGAAAAGCAGAUGAAAUAUUAUGUAAUGAUUCUUGAAACAGUCAAGAAAAAUAGAUGUAACAUCUAAAAUUAAGAAAAGAAGCUUUAUGCAAAUUGCAAAAAGCUGAAACAAGUGGUUGAAACAUUUCAAAUCACCAAAUGCCACAUUUGAAAUGACCAGAUGAAACAUCACGAAAUCAAUUGCAACAGUUGAAGAUGAAAACAUUCAAAUGCCUUGCCUUUCUCCAAAUUUGACCCUCCAAGCAUGAGUCCAGCCAUUUGCACAUUAGACCCUUGGGAGGAGCUCACCGGAGAACAACAAGACCGUGUUAUCCAACAAUUUUCAGAUCAAAUUGCAACAUAAAGAACAAAGCAUUGCAACAUCUGGCAUCACGAGCUACAACAGCAACCAGUUAGGAUCAGGAGAAAGAGGGCAAACACAAGCCUAACAAUGAGUUAUAUCCGGUUUAAACAAGGAUAAAAAUGAGUGUAUUUUACACUCAUCAUGUUGUCUUUUCGCAGCUGUACCGCCUUUAGCGUGUUGUAUUGUUCCUAACACCAAGUCUCCGAGGCCCGAAAAAAUAAGGAAAGUGGUAGCAGCUCAGAAAUCGACUAAGUUUCUUUCCCCCUUUGGCUUUCCUACUAGGAUUCGGAAUCCUCUUUCGUAUGACAAUCUUAAUGAUCUCCCAUAGUCCAAAACUCACAAAAACAUCAAAAAUCCACCGAGAAUAAAUUAAGUAAAAAAACAUGCACACACAGAUAAUAAUAGUAAUCAUGUUUCAUUAUGAUUGCUAAGGUCAGACACAAUACAUAAACAUAUUAGACUGAGUGACCCACCUCACCUCAGAGUAUGCACCAUGUCUGAGUGACCCACCUCACCUUGCCAGGACACUGGUCCUGCCCUCGUGGUUCACGCGCCCUCGUGGUUCAGCAGUGGUCAGUACACAAAUCUAGCUGCCAGUCGGAUCCAAGGGCAGGCAUUUGCAUUGUGGUUGUGUUUGAACAUGGAGAUGUCAUUAUUAUUGUCAGGCACCAUACAUCCUCUCUCAGUUUCACUCCGCCUCACACACGGAUAGCACACCAGGGACCCGACACCAUGCAUGCCGAUUUCAUAUUAUUAAUAUUUAAUUUUUUUAAUGGUUGUUGAAACUAUAUUGUUGAUAUUUUUAUACAUAAUUUACGACCUAAUUUGGAUAUAUUUUUGAAAUAUUCCGAAAUCUUAAAUUCACACGUCUAGAGAUACAGUUAGUCCAAUCUGAUGUUUCCGAUUAUAAAAAUGAACAUAAAGAGAUAGGAAGCGAGAGACGUGAGGGGGAAAGUUAAAUUAGGGCCUAAGGGGUGAAGUUAGGGUUCCAGGUGAGCUGUCAUCACUACGUGUUUUUAAUCGAAAUUGGAAUGUCAGCAAUCGUCAGAUCUUGAGCCAACAGUUGAGACUGCCUCGGAAUGGUAAUUAGGUCUGCGCGAGCUUGCAUUGUGGCCUUCCUUGAAACCUUGGACAUAGGUGUUAUAUUAUUAUGUUCUUGCCAGCACACAGCAGUGAAGGACGACACAGUUGAGAUGUGCAUCACAUUUUCUAUAUGAAGGAUAUGUUUAGCAAACCUAAGAUUUUAGAAUAAAAAGAAAAAUCAUGGGAGCCAAAGCGCCACAUAGUUCUUCCAGGUAAAAAAAAAUCAUCCACUGGACCAGCACAUAGUAACGAUCCAAAAAGUCCAUAUUAAGAUUUUUUGAUAGCAGAAAAAACAUAAAAUGUCUAAUAUUUGUAGUAUUAAAAGGAAAAAUAAUAUAUUCACGUGACCUUUUUCCCGUAGCAAGGCACCGGUACGUGGUCAGACUUAAUGCACGAUGCCUAAGCAUCCAUUGGGCCUACCCUCGUGUGGAUCACGCGCAACAGGACACGGCUCACAAGCUAUGAUGUGCAGCAGUCGCUCAGAUGGCUGAAAGGUACCCUUAAUUUGAAUGGUACCAUAUAUAUAUAUAUAUAUAUAUAUAUAGUAAACAAGACAAACCACCGUUGAUACUACUUUGCACUACUUGAUACAUAUAUCUCCACCAAAAGCGAGGCACGUGGGGAGGAGAGAUAUGUGGUUGAUGGUGCGGGCACGUGGCGAGUGCACCGUACGAAAAUUUUGCUCGUGUCGGACGACUGAUGUGAAGCAUUACCCAAUCUUAAUUAUCUCCCAUAAUCCAAAACUCACAAAAACAUCAAAAAUCCGCCGAGAAUAAAUUAAGUAAACCAUGCACACACAGAUAAUAAAAUUGCUAAUAAGGCCAGAGACAAUACAUAAACAUAUUAGACUGUUCAUGACACAUAUCACGGUGGAUAGUGUCUGUGUCCUUAUUACAAGCAAUGAGAGAUGCUUGUCACCACACACACGCGCACAGAUGCACAACAUACAUAUAGUUGAGACCAACAGAUGGAUCAACUAGAGGUCACCCCAUAUGGUGAACAAUUUAUUGGAGAUAAACAUUAACAUAACUUGGCCAUAGCUUGAAGCAUAGCAACAUAUGCCUAUGAACGGCGUUCAUGCUAUCAUUUUAGGCUUGUCCGCUUCUUCCAUCUUAGCAAGCACUUCCAUUUCUACCAUCUUAGAAGCAACUGUCAAAUUGAGAUAUGGAAAUCCCAUUAGCGCAUGAGUUAAUUUUGCAGUGAAAAUAGAGUACAAGAUAUCUUCAUGAUGUAAGUAACAUGCCUGAAGUUGUGAGAUGGGAAGUGAAGUCAACAAAUUACAUUAACGGAAAUGCAUGGAAGGCCACACAUACGUAUUAGUCCAUGAUAUGCUACAAAGCUUGUAUGUACAUAUAGCAAAUUAAAUGCAUUAAUUGAAUAGAGUGAGUUUAGUGAAUUUACCAGAAUCGUCCAGAAAACAUGGGAAACAGCAAGUGUUCUUGCAGACUGCGUCGGUGCCACCCACAGCAAUACAACCAAAACAACAUGCUUUUGCCCGAGCGGCUGCGCAGCAGCCGCACUCUGCCGCGGUGGCCGAGUUAGCAUUGAGGCUCAAGAUGACCAGGCACAUGAUCACCAUCAAAGCGGUGGUAGUCCUCUUUCCCUCCAUUGCCUCCUCUUGCUGCUACCUUCCUUGGUUACCUAGCUAAGUUUAUUGGUUUUGUGUUGAGAGGUGAUUCUUGCAUUGAAUGGACGUUGCCGCGGCUGCAAUUUAUAGGCAGCUGCGCUAUGUGAUGAUAUGGACAAGGUGCAAAUGGGUGGUCCUGAUAUGGAUAAGGUGCAUGCGAAUGGCUGUCUACUUGUAUAGUGGCGCUCCAAUGUACAUACGUAUGUAUCUUAUGCAUGUAUACAGUUGAUGGAUGUACAUGUUUGUUGCACAAAUUAUUCUGAACCAACUCUUCAUAACAGGUCUUUGUUACCAAGUAAUUUUACUUUUGCACGUUUCAGCCGAGAGGCAGAAGAGAAUAUUUUACAGAGAGGGCAGAGAAGGAGGUUGGCGGAGGCGCCGUGGUAGGGUUCCCCGUGUCGCCAAGAUUUUUGCAUUUUAGAUGUGUGUAUUGAUCACUUCGUCGUGCUCGCGGGGCCCAACUCCAGGUUGUACCCCAGCAGACCACGUUCUGUUUCUCUGCCUCCAAUGAGCAUGCAUGCCUCCACAAGGACCACAAGACUUAGUAAAAAAGCUAAACUUUGCAACACGAUGUAUACAGAACGUUUUGAAAUGUACUCUCGUUAGGCAUUCACCUCCUUAACAAUCACUGCGACUGUAAAAGAGGUACAUCGACGCUAGCUAAAUAAACCACUAUAAGAUUUAGCAAGAGAUCAUUUUAUACAAUCCUGUAACGAAACAAUUUGACAAUUAUAGUGUCCAUAUAUUUUGACAAAAAAACGUUUAAAUUAUAUAAGGAGGUGGGCCCGAAAACGGUUGGAUUACAUCGAGAACGUUUUGAAACAGUUGGCGGAGCAGGAUUCUGGCGUGGAGCAUCUACAUUGUCGCGCGCGCGGACUGCCGGAGUAGGCACGCUCGACUUGUCCCAUCGCCAGCUAAAUGAUUUAGUACCGGAUGGUCUCUAGUACCGGUUGGAGCUACCGUCCACCAGGAGCUUUUCUAGUUUGGAACUGGUACUAAUGCUAAUAUUAGUAUCAGGUCAAAAACAAUCGGUACUAAGGCUAGGGAUGACACGUCAUUUUUCUAGUAGUGUGUGCAAUUGGUUUUGUAAUUAGUCUAUAUUUAAUACUUCUAAUUAGUAUCUACACAUUUUAUGUGACAGGGACUGAACUUUAGUCCGUGGAACCAAACACCCCAUAAGUAUGUUUGGUGCUGUAAGGAUUUCGGUUUUAUUUAAUUUCCUAGGCAUUUAAAUUUCUUUCUAAAAUAAGUUAAUGAAUCAUAGGAUCUCAUUGUUGUAUUCAAGCUGGUGCAUUGAUUUUGCCUAUAAAACCCGCCGCGGUCUUCGCAGCCCCCAUCAAACCCUAGCGCCCUUGCCACAAGCUCAGCACCGCUGCCGCCCGAGCUCGAGCACUAGCACCCACCCAUCGCCGUUGCCUUCCCGUCGAUGGGAUCACCGCCCGGAGCUUCGCAUCGUGGUAAGGAAGCCGCCCGUGAAGAUCCCAUGUGCUCCUAUGCCCUCUACCGCGUCCCCGAGUUCCCGGAGUUGCUAGUCUCCCACCGAGCCGACUCUCCGAGCUUCACGUCACUGGUGCCGCUCCGAAGACCUAGUUCGGUUCGCCAUGCACCUCGCUUCAUCCUGAGCUAAACCCCAUAAUGAAUGGUGGUCGGAUGCUCGCCGCCACGGCGCGUCGUCUUUUCUGUCGCCCGUGCAUUGCCUAUCCCCUUCCAGCCGAUUGCAGCUGUCCGAUCGCAAACCGGUGGCCCUGAUCGGAUACCAAGGUCAAUACCGGUCGAACCGAGCCGUGCGCUGCUUUUGCAAGAAGGCCCCUGUUUUUCUCUCUUUUUGCACCUGAGGUCCUACGCAGUUCAAAAGUAAUAAGAUCUAGGUCCUUUUUCUUUUGUUUUAGCCCGUGUUCUUUUAUAAAAUCCCGCCCACUAUUCUGUUUGGUCUUUUGACGCGUUAGACCUUCUUUUUAUAUGUUUAAUUAGGUUUUAGGUCUCGAUUUCUUUAAGUUUAGCCCUUGAAAGUUUAGUUCUCUCGCAGUUAAGCCCCUGAACCUUGUUUAGCUCAUAUCUUAAGCGUUUUAAAUCCGUUUUAACAGAUUCUUGCGCCUAUAAGUUCAUGUUGACGCAUAGAUUAGUUGACUUAUACGAACCUUGCUGAUUCAGCUCCUUGAUUGUGCUUCAGAUCUCGCUAGGGAAGAAUAAUGGAUGGGCUUUGGUUGAGCUUGUAGAUCGACUUGCAGUUGCAGUGAAUGAGCAGAGGAUUGGCAGUGAAUAAGAUCAGGCCGCUGCCCUGCUUGGUAGGGAAAAUAUCUGCUUGCUACCAAGGCCUGUGACGCAUGGACCCCAUUGAGAGUGCAUUAUUGACAAGGACUUAAAGCCAAGGGCUCCACACCUGUCAUUGAUCAGCUGUCUGCUGGGCGCUGCAAGGAGGUAGUGCAUGUUUGACAUAAAGAAGCAGGUGGCCCAGGAUUUACGAAAAAUAAGGAUCUAUUUGAUACCCUUGCUUAUAUUUAGGGGCUAAAAGUUGCUUAUUUGAAGUUGCUUAUUUUUAAUCCUAGCUGUUUGAUUGCAUGGGCUAAAGAGCAUUGAAUGAGGUGGAUAUUGUCAUGUUUGCCUCUAAUGAUUGCUUCCCAUCACAUUUCUCCCCCCUCAUUCAACGAGGGAAGGAGGUGUAAAGUGCACCUUUUAGCCCCGAUAAGUAACCCUUGUGUUGUUUACGGGCUGAACAUAAGUAGCUAAAGUUUAGCUCCAAUAAACAAGAGUGUUUGGUAUUUUUGGGGUUAAAAGGGGCUAAACUUUAGCUGCUUAUGCAUAAGCAAGGCCAUCCAAAUAGGCCCUAAGUAUGUUUGGCGUUGUAAGUAGGUUUUAUUUAAUUUCCUAGGCAUUUAAAUUUCUUUCUAAAAUAAGUUAAUGAAUCAUAGGAGUUCAUUGUUGCAUUCACGCUGGUGCAUUGAUUUUGCCUACAAAACCUGCUGCCGUUUCCGCAGCUCCCAUCAAACCCUAGCACCCCCGCCACGAGCUCCAGCGCCGCUGCCGCCCGAGCUUGAGCACUAGCGCACACCCAUCGCCGUCGCCUUCCUAUCAAUGGGAUCACCGCCCGGAGCCCGUGUCAUGGUAAAGAAGCCGCCCGUGAAGAUCCCGUCCACUCUCGUGCCCUCUACCGCGUCCUCGAGUUCACCGGAGUUGCCAGUCUGCCACCCAGCCGCCUCUCCGAGCUUCAUGUUGUCGUUGCCACUCUAGCUGCCUCUCUGAAGACCUAGAUCGGUUUGCCGUGCACCCCGCUUCAUCCUGAGUUAAACCCCAUCAUGCCACGUCAUAGUAAGGAAGCUGCUCAUGAAGAUCCCGUGCGCUCCCGUGCCCUCUACCGCGUCCCCAAGUUCACUGGAGUUGCUAGUCCACCACCGAGCCGCCUCUCCGAGCUUCACUUCACAGUCGCUGCUCCAGCCACCACUCUGAAGACCUAGAUCAGUUCGCUGUGCACCCCACCUCAUCCUGAGCUAAACCCCAUGACGAACUGUGGUCGGAUGCUCAUUUUCGAGUGAAUUCCGGCGAGAUGGUCGCCCGCCGCCGCCAUCUCCAUCGCCCAUGCACCGCCUGUCCCCUUCCAGCCGAUGUCCGAUUGCAAACCGAUAGCCGAAAUCGGAUGUGGUCACCAGGAUUAAUACCAGUCAAACUAAGCCACGCGUGCCGCUUUUGCAAGAAGGCCCCUAUUUUUCCCUCUUUUUGCACUUGAGGUCCUAUGCAGUUCAAAAGUAAUUAGAUCAAGGUCCUUUUUCUUAUGUUUUAGCCCUAUUCUUUCAUAAAAUCCCGGCUGCCAUCCUGUUUGAAAUAGAUACGGUUAUAGAUAUGCAAACAUCUGCAUAUUUCCAACCGUAUCUCUUUCGAACGGGAGACGCCUAACUAGGUUACGUGACAUACGAACAUCAUACGGAUAGAGAGGGGUAGGAUGUCUCACCUUGCUAUCCUACAAAGUGACGACUCGAGGACAGUAAUGUAGCCUCUCCUUCAAAAAAAGAACAUACUACUAUCAAGUUAAAUUUUUGACAGCACCUCCCCUGCACGUGGAGGUUUCCAUAACCUGCAUCAAAUAAAACGGCACGAUGGCUGACAACCACAUCUACAGCACCAGAAUGGCACGAUGGCCGACUUCCACAUAAAGUUCUUAUACCUUAGAUUGCCAAGUCAAACAUCCUUUUCUAAUUUCUAAAACAAAAGCCCUCCCACCUCUCUAUCUUAUACUUUCCUAUUUACUAAUUGCUUUUGUAAUUUCUAAUUUCUAUUUCAUCCUACCACCUCUGUACCCUUUUCUCAUUUCUAAUUCCAAUUUUCUAACUUGAAGAGCAAAGAUUGAUUACUAGGAGGGGUGAGGGACGCCGGCCUAGAGAGGCGAGGGGACGUCCGGCGGCGGCGGGUGCGUCGGGGGUAGGAUGCCAGGGGCGGCUGCAGGGGCGCCGGGUUGGGGGCGGCCGGGAUCGAGGGCACCAGUAGCGGGGGCACCGGGCCGGGGGCGGCCGGCGGGGCGGGACGCCAGGGCCGGGGCGACGGGCGCCGGUGGCGAGGCCGCCCGGCCGGUGGUGGCCGGCGUGGCGCCUGGGCCGGGGGGGGGGGGCGGGCGGGGUGCGGCGCGGCGCGCCGGGGCAGGGCGCCGAGGCUGGGUGGUGGGGUACGGGGCGGCGGGCGGGGGGUGGGGGGAGGGUCGGCGGCGGGGCGCGGGGGCGGCCAGCGGCGACGGCGGAGGGCGUCGGUGGUGUUUCGGAAGUGAUACGGAGGGGGUAGAGAGAUUCGUUUUCGCGGCUGAGUGUUCGAGUCAGAAGGCCGUGCGGCUUAAGUCAGGUGGUUUGCCGAGUGCGCGCGAUCUGGCACUCGGCAAAGUCAGAAGUUUUGCCGAGUGUCAGAUCGCGGGCACUCGGCAACUGCAGCUUUUGUCGAGUGCCCUGGAUUCGGCACUCGGCAAAGUGAAGUUUUAAUUUUUUUUAAAAAAAUUUAAUCGGAACACGGGCGUGCCAGCGGGCCCGUGACAUACUUUGCCGAGUGUGUAGCAAAAACACUCGGCAAAAUAUUAUCUUUACCGAGUGUUUUCGCUAGGCACUCGGCAAAGUACACUUAUAUUUCAUGUACACUUUUUCAAUAACGUGUUUUACUAACCUUUUUCUGAUAUACUUGGGAAAAACCUUAUCAAAUUCACUCAACAAUGGAUAUAUGGUUUUUCUACUGACAUUAUUCCAUUAUUUCAUUCAGUUAUAGCUCAAAUUGAAUUUAUAUCUAUUAAAAAUCAAUAAUUGCAUUUAAUAAAUAAAAAAUACCAAACGGAUCUGAAAAAUUUCCAAAAUUUGACAUGAACCAAUCUAUGUUGUAUGUUGCCUGUACAAAAAGCUUUGAAGUCAAACCCCAAUUCAAGUGUCACUUGGACUCCAAAUCUUAUCGGAUCCUUUCUAACUUCUAUGAAUCCUUUCGGGAGAUGAGUCGGUUUGUAAGCAUCAUAUGUCAUAAAUUGGGCGAAACCUUCUCAAUUUUUUACCACAGCCUCCACAUAUAAUAUCAUGACACCUUGACAAAUCUUGUGAUUUUCAGACUUCGUUUGCUUUUUUUAGAAUUUAACAACCAUUCAACCACAUGUUCGUGAUCGUGUUUUCUAAAAAAAUGUUCAAAAUUUCUUUUCAUUUCCUGGUUGAGACCUCAAUCCGGAUUGAAUAAUAUGAAUAUGAUUUUUUCACUGAUUUUAAUCCAUUAUUUAAAUCACUUGCAGUUAAAUUUGACUUAAAUAAACAAAUUCCUAUUAAUGCUAUCAAUUCAUUAAAAAUAGCAAACAGAGAAAAAAUAGACCAACUUUUAAGAUGGAUUACCAAAUGUCAUAUGUGGGGAGUAGAAAAAGUGUGGAGAGCAGAGGUGGAAAAAAAAGUUUUGCCUUUGCCAAGUGCCUACACAAACACUCAACAAACUUUGCGGAGUGCCUAUUGAAAACACUCAGCGAACUUCUGAGUUUGCCGAGUGUCUGGAGGGAGCACUCGGCAACCUACUUAUUUGCCGAGUGUCCGCGUCGGACACUCAGCAAAGUACUAACGGCUGGCACACUCCCCUAACGGACGGCGCACGUGCAAGCCAUGUGCUGGAGAUUUAUCGAGUGUCAAAUCGUUGCCGAGUGUCGUGUGGAUGUUUGCCGAGUGUCUUAUUUGUGACACUCGGCAAAGCUAUUGUUUGCCGAGUGUAUUAUUUAUGCCGAGUGUCUUCCAGUAUACACUCGGCAAAUGAUGUCUUUGCCGAGUGCUCGACAUAAAGCACUCGGCAAAAAUUUUACACUCGGCAACAUUCCUGUUUCCGGUAGUGAGUGACCCGGGACUAAAGACCCCCGUUGUCUCUGAUUGCUUUAUUCCGGAUGGAUUUUCAGGAGAUUUGCUCCCUACCAAUAGGGACUAAAGGCAAGUUUUCCACUUAUAGCAAACCAGUUAGCCCAUUGUUGAUGGAACGCAUCACUAGAAACAGCUCGGGAUCCACUUGUCCAAUAAUCGAGAGGGCCUAUAUAUGGACCACGUGUGCGGAUCCCUAAUUAGGAAAAAAGAAUAAUGGAGUAGGACAUCUCCAUGCUCACCUAGUAGCCGCUGCUAGCUUGUGCGUGUGGAACACGAGUGCCGGCCCAGUUGGCGCUAAGACAUCGUACGUGCAUUAAGGCUACGAUCUCUUUCUUCUAACUCAUGCUUGUGCUAUUAUACAUUAUUGCAUGAUCAUCAAGAUAAGAUCGUAUAGUGACUGAGUGAGACAUGUAUGUACUAACAUGCAUUUAAGCCUCGAACUGUGUGUUGUUACGUGAGCUGCCUCCUCACCUCGCCUCUGAAUUAUUGAACCGUUUCCAACAGUGUUGGUCUCAAAUAAAUUUGACACCAAACAGAUUUAUGAAGAAGAGAGAAUAAUACUUGGAAUUGGAAAAAGUUUAUCUCUCUUUACAAUGGAGUAGGGCUCCCUUUUAUAGUGACCCAUAAGCCACUUUACAUUUGGAAAAUGUCCUUCCUCAACCACUACAUUAAUUCCUAGGAUAUGCUGUACAUAAAGGUCAUUUGAGGUAACGUGUACAAAUGAACUCUUCCACAUGGUCACGUUUCUCAUGCCUCCUGUUUUCCAACCUCGAGACAUCAUCUUCACGCCAAGUUGAUCAUCUAGCCUCGAGGCUCCAUCCACGAUCCAGAAUGAACGUCCAGGCUUGAGGCUCCUUCUUCGUUAAGCUUUGUUGAGAACUCAUAACCUCACAUAGUUCUCCUCCGAGUAUUGUUCCCGACUCAGAACACUCGAGGUUUAGCUCAGUUGGAGUUUAGCUAUUACUGUUGCUAGUCACCAGCCUCGAGCCCCUCCAGAAGCAAGGUGAUGCGAGGGUACGAGUUUUACUAUUAAAGGUGUUUCCAUAGAAUGUGCGAGGUUAAAGCACUUGCAGCAAAAGCGUGGAGCUGCUUUCAACCAGAGUGCAAUAAUGCAGCCGUGCCCAUCUUGGUCUUGGUCUCCGCCUGAACUAUAGCAGAUGCUGGCAGCGGUAGCAGGGUGGUCCAUUAUAUCUAUGGAUGGCAAUGGUCGGAUUCGGAUGGAAUCGAAUUCGAAUAGCACUUUUUACCACAUACUAAUUCAAAUCCGAAUUCGGAUUCGGAUGUUCUCGAAUGCGAAUGCAAAAUGGAUGGUUCGAAUUCGAAUACUUAGCGGAUUUUUGCAUAAUAUUAAUCGAAUAGAAUUCAUUAAAUUUAGCCAAGAAAUUAAAUUUUCUGAAAUUAAAUACUUUCCCUUCGCCCCAGCGGCGGCCUAACUCCCAGGACGGUGGCGUGCGGGGCCCGAGCAUCCCUGGCCUCUAGUGGCGUGGCGGGGCGGCAUCCAGCAGCAGCGGCGGGGCUCGGCCUCCGGUGGCGCGCGGCCAGCCCGACCUACCCGGUCAGAGGUGGCGCAGCGGUGCGCGGGCCUCCCCGACCAGAGCCGGUGGGGAGCGGUGCGCGGGGAGGACCUCCCCAGCCGGAGGUAGCAGGGCGCGACCUCCCCGGCCGGAGGUGGCUCCCUGUGGGGGCGCGGCCGUGACAGCUAGCGAGGCAAUAAUUGCUUCCGUACGCAGCAAUAAUUGCUUGUGCGACACCGUGUUAUUACUCUGGUACAGUACUCCCUCCGUUGCAGUACACUGGUCCAGGCGUCAGGACACUGCUCCUGCCCUCGUGGUUCACGUGCAUCAGGCCAGCAGACAAGCUAUGAUGUUGCCAACAGUGUUUGUUUGAACAUGGAGAUGUCAUUGUGAUUGUCAGGGACCCGACACCAUGCAUGCCGAUUUCAUAUUCUUAAUAUUUAUUUUUUUAAUGGUUGUUGAAACUAUAUAGUUACUCCAAUAUCACGUUUCCGAUUAUAAAAAUUAACAUAAAGAGAUCGGAAGGGAGAGCCCGCAUAAUGAAGCCGACGCGUAUAAUAAGCACUAGAGCCGGCAUUUAUACAAACGGGUACGCAUAGUAAAAACUAGAAUUUAUAAAUAAAUGAAGAUAUUCAAAUAUCUGGCUUACUUUUUUCAUUAAUUUUGCAUGAAUAAGGGAUGAUUCAUUAAUCAUUAUUGAACAAAUUGGCACACAUGCUUCGUGCCCGCGUUGUGAGCAUUAUGCGAUGCCACUGAGCUGCACCACCACGGUAGAGGGCCUGUUUGCGAUGCCACCGAGCUGCACCACCACGGCAGAGGGUCUGUUUGGGAAGGGGAAGUUAAAGUUUAACACCCCCCAUUUAACACCUUUUUAACAAAAUGGCUGCUAAACACUUGUGUUAAAAGAGUAGUGUUAAAAUUUAACACCUCUCUUUUCAUAAACACAUGGAGGGGGUGUUAAAAUUUGCUAAAUGUGUUAAAAGUGGUCCCCUCCCCACUUAUUCCUUGGUUGCCCCCCUCUCUCUCCUCCUCUCUCUCCUACCCGCCGCAUUUAAGAGCAUUAUUGAGGGGUAAUGCAGUCCUUUUCCAACAAAAGUGUUAAACUUUAACAACCCUUCCCAAACAUGCCACAAGCAACACCACCGGCUGACUGUGCUAGCGGGGAGCACCCUCACCGCCUGCCCGUGGGGACUUCUUCUGCCGGCCAUCGUGUCUUUGUAGGACCGCCGCGUGAGCCUAUGAGCCACCGGUGGCCGUGCGCCCAAGGGCCAUCACCAUGCCACCUGAGGAUGCUGUCUACCCGGUGCCGCGUGCCUCUGCUAGCUGCUUGCACCUGGGCCGCCGCUGGUCGCCUGCACAGCCACGCGUUACAGCCGCCCCCCUGCGCUGGGCCACCCCAUUUCGUGUUGGAAGAACUGCCACAGUCUCGCGCACUGGGGUUUUGCUAGUGACGACCAUAGCCUCCAAGAUCAAAUGAAAAAGUUGGUACUCAAAACAUACAUCCAUUAAUCUAGUCGUGCUAAUCCUUACCACCAAAUAAAAACUAGCAUGUGUUGUGUUUUUGUGACCCUAAACGAUCACAAAUGAAUAACUUAUGGGCGUUGCUAGCCUAUAAGUUAUGGGCGUUUGUGACCCUAGUCGCGCCGGGGUCUUGCUGGUGACAACCAUGGUCUUCGCGAUAAAGUAUUAAGUCUCAUCGAGUUCUACAAUUUUGAUAUAAAAUUUCUAUUCAUCCGAGAUCAAAUGAAAAACAAAUGAAAAAAUCCGAAGUAUUAGGCUUCAUCGAGCUCUACAAUUUUGAUAUAAAAUUUCUAUUCAUCCGAGAUCAAAUGAAAAAAUCCGAGAUCAAAUGAAAAGUUGGAACUCAAAACAUACAUCCAUUAAUCUUGAUAUAAAAUUUCUAUUCAUCCGACAUCAAAUGAAAAAGUUGGUACUCAAAAUAUACAUCCUUUAAUCUAGUCGUGCUAAUCCUUACCACCAAAUAAAAAAACUAGCAUGUGUUGUGUGUUUCUGACCGUAAACGAUCACAAAUGAAUAACUUAUGGGUGUUGCUAGCGUCCCGGACGCUAGCAUCGGACGCAUGAGCAGCCGUCCGAUCGGGUCCGACACCACUUCACGAUCUGUCUUAAAAAAAAGUCCCACCGAAACAUUGUUCCAUGUUGCAUGAAAUACCCCACUAUCCAUCGCCAGGUCUACAGCAAGCACCACCUUCCAAUCUGCUGCUCACCCAAGCUAAAUAGGGGCAUUAAAAUUGCAGAAAUAUGUCACAUAUCCUUGUCAAAUUAAACUAAAUCGCAACAUCCGAAAAUUUCUUACACAAAACCAUGAAACAUAUCGAUUAGAUAGGUGUAACAAGAUGGAAUAUGGUAUCCAACAUAUAGAUUCCGAAAAACAGAUGAAACAUUAUGUAACGAUUGUUGAAACAGUCGAGAAAUAUAGAUGUAACGAUUAAAAUUUAGAAAAGAAGCUUUAUGCAAAUUGCAAAAAGCUGAAAUAAGUGGUUGAAACAUUUCGAAUCACCAAAUGCCACAUUUGAAAUGGCUACAUGAAACAUCACGAAAUCAAUUGCAACAGUUGAAGAUGAAAACAUUCAAAUGCCUUGCCUUUCUCCAGAUUUGACCCUCCAAGCAUGAGUCCAGCCAUUUGCACAUUAGACCCUUGGGAGGAGCUCACCGGAGAACAACAAGACCGUGUUCUCCAACAAUUUUCUGAUCAAAUUGCAACAGACAAAACAAAGCAUUGCAACAUCUGGCAUCACGAGCUACAACAUCAACAAGUUAGGAUCAGGAGAAAGAGGGAAAACACAAGCCUAACAACCCCAAGACAAAACUGAUGUACUCAUCAUACAUCACGGCUUGCCGUGCACAGAGAUGAAGGCCGCCAAGCUCAAUCGAGACAGAGACGACGUGAUAGUGCUCCAGAUCGACGGUCCCCAUCAAUUGUUGCGUACACUGCCAAAAGCAAUGGAAGAAGAAGGGUCGUCCCUGCUCGACCUCCGUAGAUGAGCGCAGAUUGGGGGAAACCGUAUAGAGUGCCGCUGACAGCACAGGCGAGGGGGCUCAGGCUUGAUUCAGGGUGAGGGUAGCGGGUAGCAUGAGGAGACAGUCAGGUUUCAUAGGAGAGAGGCGGAGUAGAGAGCUCUGGUGACUCGGUGAGGAGGGUGCGGCACGGAGAAAGGUGUGUAGCUGAAGGAGCUACAUGGUUGGGGCGAGGCGAGCGUAGAGACUAGAGAGGGAAAAAAAGCAUGGGGAGGAGACGAUAUGUGGUUGAUGGUGCGGGCACGUGGUGAGCGCACCGUAUGAAAAUUUUGCUCGCGUCGGAUGACUGAUGUGAAGCAUUACCCAAUCUUAAUUAUCUCCCAUAAUCCAAAACUCACAAAAACAUCAAAAAUCCGCCGAGAAUAAAUUAAGUAAACCAUGCACACACAGAUAAUAAAAUUGCUAAUAAGGCCAGAGAUAAUACAUGAACAUAUUAGACUGUUCAUGACACAUAUCACGGUGGAUAGUGUCUGUGUCCUUAUUACAAGCAAUGAGAGAUGCUUGUCACCACACACACGCGCACAGAUGCAUGACAUACAUAUAGUUGAGACCAACAGAUGGAUCAACUAGAGGUCACCCCAUAUGGUGAACAAUUUAUUGGAGAUAAACAUUAACAUAACUUGGCCAUAGCUUGAAGCAUAGCAACAUAUGCCUAUGAAUGGCGUUCAUGCUAUCGUUUUAGGCUUGUCCAGCUUCUUUCAUCUUAGCAAGCACUUCCAUUUCUACCAUCUUAGCAGCAACUGUCAAAUUGAGAUAUGGAAAUCCCAUUAGCGCAUGAUUAAUUUUGCAGUGGAAAUAGAGUGCAAGAUAUCUUCAUGAUGUAAAUAACAUGCCUGAAGUUGUGAGAUGGGAAGUGAAGUCAACAAAUUACAUUAACGGAAAUGCAUGGAAGGCCACACAUACGUAUUAGUCCAUAAUACGCUACAAAGCUUGUAUGUACAUAUAGCAAAUUAAAUGCAUUAAUUGAAUAGAGUGAGUUUAGUGAAUUUACCAGAAUCGUCCAGAAAACAUGGGAAACAGCAAGUGUGCUUGCAGACUGUGUCGGAGCCACCCACACGAAUACAAAGCUGACAACAUGCUUGUGCCUCGUGGGAUACGCAGCAGCCGCACUGUGCCGCGGUGGCCGAGUUAACAUUGAGGCUCAAGAUGAACAGGCACAUGAUCACCAUCAAAGUGGUAGUCCUCUUUCCCUCCAUUGCCUCCUGUCGCUGCUACCUUCCUUGGUUACUAGUAAGUUUAUUGGUUUUGUGUUGAGAGGUGAUUCUUGCAUUGAAUGGACGUUGCCGCGGCUGCAAUUUAUAGGCAGCUGCGCUAUGUGAUGAUAUGGACAAGGUGCAAAUGGGUGGUCCUGAUAUGCAGGAGCGGAUCUAGGGCCCAGGCAGUUUAAAUUAAAGUCUCCUCAUAGGCAGUUUGACUAUGAUCAAUUUUACCUGUAUUUCUCAAUAUGUAGAUAAUUCUAUGCCAACAAUUAAAAACUAAUACAUAAUUUGACACGGUGUACCUCGAGAACGUUUUGAAAAUGUACUCUCUCGUUAGGCGUUCACCUCCUUAACAAUAACUGCGACUGUAAAAUAGGUACAUCGACGCUAGCUAAAUAAACCACUAUAAGAUUUAGCAAGAGAUCAUUUUAUACAAUCCUGUAACGAAAGAAUUUGACAAUUGUAGUGUCCAUAUAUUUUGACAAAAAACGUCUAAAUUAUAUAAGGAGGUGGGCCCGAAACAGUUGCAUUAGCAUAUGGUUACCCGUUUGUUGUCUUCCGGUCCUAAAAAAAGGACCAUCUUACUUAAAAAGGUUCUAUUAGGCCAUGCAGCCGGCUCUGUGGCACCAAAAAGAAAUUUUGACACGGUUUACAUCGAGAACGUUUUGAAACUAGACUUUGGUAAGCAGUUCAUCACCUGCUUAACAAUAACGGCGUACAUAGACGCUAUCUAAAUUAACCACUAUAAGAUUUAGCGAGAGAUCUAUUUUUUAUAAUUGCGUAUACCACUUUACGAGAGAGACGUCAAGAGCAUGAUGGUACACUUUGUAUAUAUCUUUGAAUUCCAGCUACGGGACUUUCUUGCCUUCGCCGAAAAAAUCUAUCGGUUUUAUCUUAAGGCCGAACAUCUCCCUCUCGUCAGCGAACUUCUUCAUGUACCAUUUAUGGAAUUUGUAUAUCAAAGCUUCCCUACCAACUCAGGCCUUACUGGAGAUUUGCCUAGCUCAAAGGUCCAUUUCAGUUCAACUAGCGGUCCAGCUGGCAGCUCAACUUGCCCAAGACACUCAGCAAGUCCCAUACCUAUUUCUUCCAUGAAUUUUAUUACUUCUGCUUGUUGAUGCAAGGGCAUUGCUGCUAUCUGUUUAGCGUCGUUUUCUAGUAGAUGCCCGAGGUGGGGGAUAGCACCACUUGAAGACAACUUUCCUUUCCUUUUUUUCCUCUCAUCAACCUUAACUAAUGCCCGUUCGUAGUUCGACAGUAGUGGCACUGACUUCUUGGUUGCUUCUUUCAUCUUUUUUUUAAAAAAAUAAUUCUCUUCGAUCUAUUAGCGGUGGCUCCAUCUCCUUUGCUUUUUUUUCUUCGACCCUUUUCUUGAACCACUCCCUGCAUUCUGCUUGGUUUCGGCCCAGCGUUCCGCUUGAGUCAUUGCCUCUUGGCGUUUCUCAGGAGUCACUUUAGGCUCCUUUAUUUUUUUCUUUCUCUAUCUUGGCUUGGGAGGCAAUGGUCGUGACUUCUUAAGUGGUGCUGCAGUUUCCUUGCUCUAGGCUUCUCUUAGUCCCGAUGACGAUGAUCGGGGAGGAGUGUUGUUGUCCUCGUCGUCGCUCGCACCACCAGGAUGUGGUGGAGAUGGAGACCUUGAUCGAGCAGGAAGCGACGGUCCCUGUGGUGACGACGGUCCUGGAGCAGGUUGUGCUGGAGAUGAUGGUCCUGGAGCAGGCCGUGGUGGAGAUGACGGUCUUGAGCUUUGGGGAGAGGGUCGCUGCUGGGGAUUUGUGGGGAGCAGUCUUGAGCUUUGAGGAGAUGCCUCAAUGCCGGGGAUGAUGAUGUAGCAUUUGUGCCAUAGAAUGAUCCCGUGAAGCGCAUAUCCUAGUGUCCUUUCCCCGUCACCUCCCGGGAGGUCGAGCUCUAGGCCUUCAUAUUGGCUAUCAACGAGCUGCUCUAGGCCGACGCUGGCGUAGCCAGGUGGAAUCUCAAUGCCAUGGCUUGUCUGCCCUGGCAGGAUUGGUAAGGCACUCUCAUACACCACCUGUACAUAUAGCAGAAAUAAAGAAGUUAUUAAACUCCGAUCCCGAGGUGUGGAUGGAUGAUUGAGAAGAUUGCAAAAAUAUCAUGUAUAAGUAUACCUUAAUGGUGAUGUUGUCGACCGAUUUAUGCAGCUCACAUGAGGUGCGUUGCGUGAUGACAUCCAUAGGGAACCGUUGCUCAACCAUGGGUAAUCCUUGCAUUUAUGGAUCGGGGAGCCCUGUGGAAGCACAGCUGCUCCCGAGGUGUUAAGAAGGGCUAGCGACGUUUGGAUCCGACAGUGCUCUAGAUUGGGCUAACUCCGCAACUGCUAGGGCCACUCGACAAUUGAUUUCCUCUUGCAUUCUUACUUCUUGUGAAUGCACUUUGGAUUCUAGCAUGCACCUCAAGGUCUCCUCAACAUGUUCCUUUCUUCGCUUGUGGCUUUGGUACGAAGCGAUGUCACCUUGAAAAGCGAACUUCCACGGAAUGACCCCGUACCCUCGGCAAUGUCUUGGGUGCUCGGGAUUCCCGAGGGCCAAUGUGAGCUCAUGAUUCUCUCGGUCCACCUUCAACCUCCGAGCCUUAGCAUCUUCAAUGUUCUUCAUAAGCCUUUCGGCCUUCUGACGUAUUGUCUCAUUGAAGAUCAAUGUCACAUCCUCUUUGGCUCAGGUUGCCUCCAUGAGCGUAACACCAAUUUUUCGAUUGAUCGGGCCAUUCAAGAGUUGCUGGUAUGAUACUCUGAUCAAUCAGGUUUUGUUCCAUCUUGCACCAUCUGGGAAUUGCUGUGCCCUAACCACCUCACCCUAGACGAUGAUGGUACUCCUUCUUGCCAGCAUUUGCAACGUUGGUCUUGACCUUAUUCGCACCGUCUUCGCUCGUCUUGUGUUCGACAAAUGCCUCCCAGUGGUCCCUCAACUUUUGCCACUCAUCGAAAUCCGGAGUUUAGCCAUUCUUGAUGAAUGUGGCAUCCAGCAUCUUCUUGAAUGUCUGGAAUUGUGUGGCCAUCUUCUUCAGCGUCCACGGUUUCACAUCAUCUUCAUUACAUCCUUCGGGAAAUGUGAAAUGUCUCUUAACAUCUGCCCACAGCAUAUUCUUUUCUGAAUCCGGGAGCGUGUAUGGAUUAGUACUUUUGUCCUUCCAUUCCCUGAUGCUGAUAGGCAGAAGCUAGAGACUAUUUCUUUUUCUAAAAAUACACAUGAGGGAGAAAAUUGGUAACAGCUAAACAGUGCAGAUUGCAUUUCAACACACGUUUUUAUAGCUGAGCACACGUCUGAAUCCCAUUUUUAAGUGUUCGGUCCUACACCCACAUUUUCAUCCCAGGUUGUCGGUUUAGUCAUUUUUUACCUUCCAUGACCUAUAGCACACAUUUUUAUGGUAGAACACGCAUUCAGAGGUCAUUUCCACAUCUUCGGUCCAUCCCCAUAUUUUCAUCCCCGGUGGCCAGUGUGGCUGUUUUCGAACUAACGUGACUUAUAACACACGUUUUCAUAGCCGAACACGUGUCCGAAGGCCAUUUUCAAGUGUCUAGUCUGACACCCACAUUUUUGUCCCCGGUGGCCGGUAUGGCUAUUUUUGUGCUCCCGUCACCUAUAACACACAUUUUCAUGGUCGAACACACGUCCGGAGGCCAUUUUAAGUUGUUCGGUCCAUCCCCACAUUUUUUACCCCGGUGGUCGGUGUGGCCAAUGUUUUCUUGGUCGAACACGCAUCCGGAGGCCAUUUUCACUUGUUCGGUUCGACACUAACAGUUUCAUCCCGGUGGCCGGUGUGGCUAUUUAUCGUUCUCCCAUGACCUAUAACACACAUUUUCAACACUAACACUUUCGGAGGCCAUUUUCAAUUGUUCGGUCUGACACCAAUGUUUUGGUCCCCAGUGGCCGGUGUGGCCGUUUUCAACCUCCCGUGACCUAUAACACACAUUUUCAUAGCUAAACACGCGCCCGGAGGCCAUUUUCAAGUGUUCGGUCUGACACCCACAUUUUCGUCCCCGGUGACCGGUGUAGCUCUUUUUGGCCUUCCAUGACCUAUAGCACACGUUUUCAUGGCCAAACACACGUCUGGAGGCCAUUUUUCACUUGUUUGGUGCAUCCCUAGUUUUUGCUCCAGUGCUAAUGUGGUCGUUUUUAGGCUUCGACCUAUAGCACACAUUUGCAUGGUUGAACACGCGUCCAGACGUCAUUUUCACUUGUUCGGUCCAUCCCCCACGAUUUCAUCCCCGGUGGCCGGUGUGGCCGUUUUUGGGCUCCCAUGACCUAUAACCCACGUUUUCAAGGCCGAACUCGCGUCUGGAGGCCAUUUUCACUUGUUCAGUCCAUCCCACAUGUUCUCGUCCCCGGUGGCCGGUGUGGUCAUUUUCAGGUUCCCGUGACCUAUAAUCCUCGUUUUCAUGGCUGAACACACGUCCGAAGGCCAUUUUCGCUUGUUCAGUCCAUCCCCCAUGUUUUCGUCCCAGGUGGCCAGUGUGGCCGUUUUUGAACUAACGUGACCUAUAACAUACGUUUUCAUAGCCGAACACGUGUCCGAUGUCCAUUUUCAAGUGUUCGGUAUGACACCCAAGUUUUCAUUCCUGAUGGCUGGUGUGGCCAUUUUCGGGCUCCCGUGACCUAUAACACAUAUUUUCAUGGCUGAACAUGCGUCCAAAGGCCAUUUUCAUUUGUUCAGUCCAUCCCCCACGUUUUCAUCACCGGUGGCCGGUGUGGCCAUUUUAGUGAUCCCGUGACCUAUAAAACACGUUUUGAUAGCCGAAGACGUGUUUGCAGGCCAUUUUCAAGUGUUCGGUUUGACACCCACGUUUUCGUCCCCGGUGGCCGGUGUUGCUGUUUUUUGCCUUCCAUGACCUAUACACGUUUUCGUGGCUGAACACGCGUUCGGAGGCUAGUUUCACGUUUUCAUCCCUGACGGCUAGUGUGGCCAUUUUCGGGCUCCCGUGACCUAUAACACACAUUUUCAUGGCCAAACACAAGUCCGGAUGCCAUUUCCAGUUGUUCAGUCCAUCCCCCACAUUUUCAUCCUCGGUGGCCGGUGUGGUAGUUUUUGGCCUCCCGUGACCAACAACACACAUUUUCGUAGCUGAACACAUGUCCGGAGGCUAUUUUCAAGUGUUUGGUCCUACACCCAUCUUUUCAUCCCCGGUGGGUAGUGUAGCCAUUUUUUAUCUUCCGAAACCGAUAGCACACGUUUUCACGAGCAUGGCCUGUGAGGCUUAGCUUCUCGUAACCGUAGGUCAUGGCAGGGUUUGAUCGGUCAGGAGGCUGAAGAGUAAGUUACUUUGGGUAGUCAGUGGAAUGGGAUGCCCUUUCAUUUGGGCGAAGUGUGUGAUCGCACGAAAGUAAAGAGCAGGUGGUACUGCACCCUCGUGGAGCCCCCGAGCGACCCAAGCUAAGAGUGCUCGGGCUGGGGCGCUAUAGGAGCGAGUAUCAAAUGGAAACAACUGGUAAAACCAAGCUAGGGAAAUAAACAAUGUAACUGCUCAAUGUUCCAUGUGUUGGUGAGGAUGUUGCCGUCGUCGUCCUUCAGUCAGUAGGCGCAUGGUCGGAUCACCUCGGUGACUGUGUACAGUCCUUCCCAUGGCGGAGAGAGCUUGUUCUUAUUAUUGGUCGACUAGGUCCUUCGAACCACAAGGUCACCAAUCUCGAGGGUCCUCCCUCGGAUUUUCCUCUCGUGGUACCUACGAAGGGUUUGCUGGUAACGAGCGGAGUGGAUGAUGGCCAUCUCAUGUGGCUCCUCGAGCAGGUCGACUAUGUCCUGCUAAGCUUCUGUAGCUCGGUCUUGGUCGAAGGCCUUUACCCUUAGGGCACCGUAAUCGAGGUCGAACGGUAACACGGCUUUGGCUCCGUACACCAAUAAGAAGGGGGUGAACCCUGUGGAUUGGUUUGGGGUCGUUCUAAGGCUCCAGAUUACCACUGGGAGCUCUGUGACCCAUCACCCGGUGUGCUUUUUUAGCCGGUCGAAAAUGCAAGGCUUGAGCCAUUGGAGGACCAUGCCAUUCGCUUGCUUGACCUGAUCGUUGGUUUGUGGGUGCCCGACCGAGGCCCAGUCGAUCCUAAUGUCGUAUCCAUCAUAGAAAUCCAGGAACUUCUUGCUAGUGAAGUUUGUUUCGUUGUCUGUGAUGAUGCAGUUAGGGACGCUAAACCGAUAGAUGAUGUCAAGGAAGAACUCGACUGCGUCUUGUGACCGGAUGUUGGUGAUGGGCUUCGCCUCAAUCCACUUGGUGAAUUUGUCCACCGCCAUGAGUAGGUGAAUGAUGCCACUCGGGGCCUUUUUAAGGGACCCAACUAUGUCGAGGCCCCAGACCGCGAAUGACCAGAUGAUGGGGAUGGACUAGAGCUCUUGCGUCGGCAGGUGAGUUUUCUGAGCAUAGAACUGGCAGCCUUCACACUUGUGGACCACCUCCUCUACGUCUUGAAAUGUUGUGGGCCAGUAAAAACCUUGGCAAAAGGCUUUCCCGACCAGUGAUCUCAGGGACGCAUGGUGUCCGCAGAUUCUGGCAUGGACAUCAAGAGAAGUUGUUUCCCCUAAUUGGUCGGGAUGCACUUCAUGAGUAUUCCCGAUGGACUUCAUUUGUAACGUUCAUCACCGAUGGCGACAAAUGUCUUGACGCGUCAAGUGAUUCAUCGUGCUUCAAUCCUCUCCAGUGGGAGGACCUCUUCGAGGAUGUAGGCGAGUAACGACGCUCUCCAGUUGGUUGGGUCAUGCACCAUUACGUCAGUGCUUCUAGGUGAGGUCGCCAUAGGGGCAUCAGGGUCGGAGCCCCUGAGCACGCAAUCGGACUGUGACUGGGUUGGGUCCUCUCGGACACGGGCAGAUGGUUCAUGGAGGUCGUUCACGAAGACUCCGUUGGAAGAUGGGCCCCAUCUAGGUGCCAAUUUUGUGAGGAAGUUAGCAACAUCAUUGUCCUUUUGUGGCACAUGAUGUAGCUCGAUCCCUCGGAACUUGUCUUCUAACUUGCAUACAUCUUGACAGUACGCUGCCAUGAGAGGGCUCCUGCAGGAGGACUCCUUCAUGACUUGGUCGACCACUAGCUCCAAGUCGCCGCAGCAUAAAGCCGCAUCUCGCCGAGCUCGAUGGUGAUACGUAGCCUAUUGAUGAGGGCUUCGUACUCCAUGAUGUUGUUCAAGGUUGGAAAAUGGAGACGGAUCGCGUAGCGGAGCCUAUUCCCCUGUGGUGAGAUAAGGACCACUCUAGCCCUCGAGCCAGGUCCCAUGAUCGAACCGUCGAAGUACAUCAUCUAGUACUCGUGGGUGACAUCCAGGGUCAGGAUCUGGACUUCCAUCCACUCGGCGAUGAAGUCGGCCAGGUCCUAAGACUUGAUAGCUAUGCAGGGGACGUACUUGAUGUCAUGGCCCAUGAGCUCAAGCAUGCACUUGGAGAUUCGCCCCAUAGCAUCACGGUUGCAGAUGAUCUCUCCCAGCAGGUACAAGGUGAUGAUCGUGACCUCAUGGUCGGUGAAGUAGUGUCGGAGCUUCCGGGUUGCCAUCAGCAUGACGUACAGAAGGUUCUGGGCUUGGGGUAACGCAUGUUGGCGUCAUGUUGACACCAUGUUUUGACAUACGUCAAACAUGGCGUCAAAAGAAAAUAGAGAUGCCAGCGCAUAGUGGAAGGACAACGGCUAGUGGAAUCGACUGGUAAGGUUGUAGAGGGUUGAGCCGAUAGAGUAAGGCAGAAGCCUAGGCGAUGGGAUCACAGGGGCAUAGCCCAUAGAGUCAGACGAUGCGAGCAGGAGGGUUCUAGCCGAUAGGAAAUGUUGGAGGUUCGGCCGAUGAGGAGCUGGUUUUGGUCGGUAGAAGCCAAGUUCGUUUCUGACUCCUACAUGAGUCAUUUUUAUUUAGAAAGUUUGUUUCUUUAGAGAUAGGUCUUAUGAUUUGUUGUAACCGACUAGGAUUAGAAAUCUUGAUGUAUAGGGUAUAAAUAGGGGCCUUGUAAGGUUUGGAAAAGACACACACAUCAUAAUCAAUACAAAUCUACUAUUUUCGCAAUCUACUUUCAAGUCGACGACUUCGCCAUUGUUUUGUUUUCUUCACGAGUUCUUCCAAGCUGGUUGGGCUGCAUUGCUUCGAUCUCCAGCUAGACUGUAAGUUUCGCGUUUACUGAAUACCUCCUAGGCUUUAACUUUGGGUGCAUUGCUGUCAUUUCGUCUGGAUUUAUUCACAAGUUAUCGAUAUUUACUGGAUCUGCAUGUUUUAUUUGUUAAAUCUUGUUGCUUUAGUUUUUAUCACGGUUAUCCAGCUUAGAACACAUUCCAAUCAGCUUUUUCUUUAUUUCUCAUACUAAUCUACUAUCACCCAGCCGAUUAGAUCUGUUUUAAUUGGUGUUCAUGUAAUGCUAUUUAGGUUGUAUUUUACGCUUCCUUUACAUCUACUACAUCCACAUCGGCUGAUCUAGCCGAUUGUCUUUUCUCGUGUCGGCAGCUCUACGAUACGUCCUGUGGAGCGAUUUAGAAUGCCAGCUGAUUUGCUCUUGUAUUUGACAUUUUACCUGUCCUUUUCAAUCAAUAGGUCAGAUUGACUGGCACACCAUGGAUCGAUAGGGCUACAACCCAAACAGGAGCGAAGCAGAUUCUCCCCGGUUUUGUGUGUUAGUGCGCGGGAGCCGUCUCUCAAUUUUUGCGUCAACACAUCGGUGAGUACUUCACUGAUGAAGUACACCGGUCGCUGGACCUUCAGCGCAUGUCCUAGCUCCUCUCUAUCGACUACAAGGGCAGUACUAACCACGUGGUCGCUUGCCGCGAUGUAGAGGAGAAGGGGUUCUUCCUGCUCGGGAGCGAUGAGGACUAGGGCCGAAGUCAGCAAUGCUUUGAGGCUUUCCAAAGCCCAUUGUGCCUCCUCCAUCCAGACGAAUGCGUCUGCCUUCUUGAGGAGUGUGUAGAGAGGCAUCCGUCGUUCGCCUAGUUGGGAGAUGAACCGGCUCAGGACGGCCAAACAACUAGUGAGCCUCUGUAUGCCCUUGAUGCUGUGUAUGGGGCCCAUGUUGGUGAUGGUCGUGAUUUUUUUGAGGUUGGCUUCAAUGCCGCGCUCGGACAUGAUGUACUUGAGCAGCUUCCCCUUUGGAACCCCGAAAACACAUUUCUCAGGAUUAGUGGGGUUGUGGUGCUGCACUACUCCAGAACAACAACACUGCGGCACGCUUGCUCAAUCAGACGGCAAACCAGCCUGCUCUAGCAUACAACCUCCAUCACCAUCGGCUCCGCAGCCAGCCGUCCAGCGUUAUCAGCAGCAUCCACUAGAAGUCAGCAGGGAGGAUGGUGUUUUGGAUCCUCACAGGGAUGGGUCACCUAUAGUGGUGUACGAUGAGGCAACCAGUGUGUUGCGGCAUGUUGAUUCUUCCCGCCAGUUGACCUAGCCGCAAUAUCUGCAACAUACAUCGGCUAUCCAAUAGCCAAUUGUGGUGCCACAAAUUCAGCAGCAGGUGCCAGUGGGCCAGCCAAUGCUCCAACCUAUGGUCCAGCAGUAGCCGCAACAGGUUGAUUGGGCCGCAAAGAUAGCUGGGGUGAUGCAAGAUCAGUUCGGUCUAAAACCUAAAGUGCAGACCUACACGUACAGAAUGCCGUACCCACCAGCCUAUGACAUGUUGUCGUUCCCUCACCGAUUUCACCAAGUUCUCGGGACAAGAUGAGGCAUCUACGGUGGAGCACGUCAAUAGGUUCAUCAUUCAGUGUGGAGAGUCAGCUGUGCAGGAUGCUCUGAGGGUUCGGCUGUUCUCAUCAUCUCUGUCCGGGUCAGCCUUCCAGUGGUUCACGACGCUUCCACCUAACUCCAUUAUCACCUGGGACAAUCUGGAGAAAUAGUUCCACAAAAACUUUUUUGCUAGGGUUCACGAGAUGAAGCUGACAGAUCUAACUAGUCUCAGGUAGAGGAGUGAUCAAUCGGUGGCCAGUUUCAUCCAACGGUUUAGGGAAGUCAGGAACAAGUGCUACAGUUUGGUCUUGAGCGAUAGCCAACUAGCCAACACGGCUUUUUAGGGGCUUCACAGGAGUUCGAGAGUUUGAGCCAGAUUGUACACCGGUUGUCAAACCAAGACGUACACCCAUUUGAUUAGAGAAAGAAUUUCCAGAAGAAGGUGGCGUACGUGGAGUGUUUGGACUUAGAAGGAGAAGCAGAGGUCAGCUUGGCAGAGUGGGUUAAAGUCCAAAAAGCCGAUCUCUUGCCCGUACGGCAAGAAGGAGCCUGAGAAAUUCGAGUUCAAUAUUUCCAAGGCCAAUAAGAUCUUUGAUUUGUUGCUGCAAGAAGGGAAAAUCAAGCUCUCACCAUACCACACGAUCCCAUUGACUGAAGAACUUAAGAAGAUCAAGUACUGCAAGUGGCACAAUGCCACAUCUCACAACACCAACGAGUGCAAAGUCAUCUGCCAGCAGAUCCAAUUAGCUAUUGAGCAAGGGAGGCUCAAGUUUAAAGCUCCUUCAAAACCAGCAAAGCCGAUGAAGAUCGACCAACAUCCAUUCCCAACAAAUAUGGUAGAAGUCGGAGGCAAAAGCGCACCUCCCACAAAGGUGCUGACAUCAGAACCAGCCAAGAGGAGUGGAGAUGUGGACCCUAGAGUAUAGGUGUCGGCCAACGAUGUCAAGUUGAACAGUCAGUUGCAAGAAGGUUAAGCUCAACAAGGCCUCAAUGGCCGAUAUCCUCCCAAGAGUUUCUCAAUAAGUUAUAGAGAUAGCAAGACCAGGCAAGGCACCGGGAAGAGAUGACACAUCACCAUGAAAACCACUGGAGAUGCCCAUUCUUCAUAUACUGCUAGGAGGAGCGGAUCAAGAUACCAUCGAUUGACAACUACCCCGAAUGCAAUGGGUCAUACCAAGGCAGCCGAUUGUCCAAAAGACCGUGCUUUGAUGAUAGGAAUCAAAAGCCGAUCAAUAGGGAUAGACCUUACCAUGAUGACAGGUGCAUCCCAAUGCGUGAUUGACUGGGGGGGCAGGAUCAGUAUACAUGAUUGGCUGGAGGGCAGGCUAAAUGUUCCCAACAGACUAGAGGAAAGAGCCAAUGCAAGAGUCCUCGAUGAAGAGCCUUUGUGUCGCGAACCAGAGCGGCGGCGUGCAUCAUGAGACAAAGCUAUAGAAUAGCCUAGAUGGUGCCCAGCGGGUUUGACUAAGUCCCAGAAGAGACGGGUUCAAUGCAUGCGACAAUGGGAGUAUCAAGAAGAGGAACAAAGGUGUGCUUCAGAAAGGAAAGGGGUCAAAUCCUAGGUGUGGCACAUCAAAGACAAAGCCGAUGACGAAGAUAACAAUCCCAAAUCAGCUGUUGAUGUCAACAUGGUUUUCGUAUUACCGAUGGAAUUCAUGGCUCCAACCAAUCACAAGGCAACAGAAGCAGAACAGGGGAUGGCACAAUUAACCUUGGAGCUGAUGUCAGCCACCUUUGAGAAACCCAAAGAUGAAAAACGUCGGCACCUGAAAGCCCUCUUCCUCAAGGGGCAAAUCGACGGGAGGCUGAUUACCAAGCUUCUGGUGGACAGUGGUGCAGCCGUGAACAUCAUGUCGUAUGCCAUGUUCCGCAAGCUCGGCAAAGGCGAAGAAGACUUGAUCAAAACAGACAUGAUGCUGAAGGACUUCAAAGGAAACAUCUCUCCGGCCCAGGGGGCACUCUGCGUCGACCUCACCAUCGGCAGUAAGACCCUAGCUACUACUUUCUUUGUUAUUAAUGGUAAAGGGUCCUACAAUAUGCUUCUGGGUCAAGAUUGUAUUCACGCCAACUACUACAUCCCGUCUACAAUGCAUCAAUGUCUCAUCCAAUGGGUCGGCGACUCAGUUGAAGUGGUCACCGCUGAUUCUUCUUUCAGCGUCGUUGCAGCCGAUGCACAAUAGUAGAAUUGCAAAUAAGUCAGCUGCAUAUCUGGCAGAGUCUAGGAUACAGAUUUCUUGAAGAUGUCCAAUUUUGGACUACAGCGAUCCAAGUAGUCGGCUCUGAAGAAUUGUCCUGAUGGAUGAGUUCACCCAAGAAGAUGGGAAGCUGGAGCAUGAGUUUAUGUCAGUCGACGAGUUAGAGAUGGUAGAGCUUGAAGAUGGGAGCAAGCCAAAGCAGACAUAUAUUAGUGCUAAGUUAGAUCCUGAGUAUAAGCAUGAACUAAUUAAGUUGUUAAAAGAAUUCAAAGAUUGUUUUGCUUGGGAGUAUCAUGAAAUGCCUGGUUUAGAUCAAUCUAUUGUCGAACAUCAGUUGCUAAUAAAAUCAGGAUAUCGGCCGUAUCAGCAACCUGUGUGACGUUGUAAUCCGAAGAUUUUACUUGAUAUUAAGGCUAGGAUCACAAGAUUAAUUGAUGUGGGGUUUAUUCGGCAAUGUCGGUAUGCUGAGUGGAUUUUUAAUGUGGUUCCCGUAUACAAGAAGAAUGGAAAACUGCACAUUUGUAUUGAUUUCAGGAACCUCAAUCAAGCCACACCAAUGGAUGGUUGUCUGAUGCCGACAGCUGAUGUGUUGAUAGAUGCUACUUUAGGAUACAAAGUCAUUAGUUUCAUGAAUGGUAACGUUGGAUAUAACCAAGUAUUGAUGGAGAAAGAAGAUAUUUCCAAGACGGCUUUCGGGUGUCCUGGACACAACGGUUUAUUUGAAUGGGUGGUCAUGACCUUCGGAUUGAAAAAUGCUAGGGCUACAUAUCAGCGAGCCAUGAAUUACAUUUUCCAUAAACUUAUCGGCAUCCUAGUGGAAAUUUAUAUCGAUGAUGUCGUAGUCAAAUCGAAAGGGUAUCGAGAACACUUAGCCGAUUUGCGUGAAGUCCUGGAAUGCACAAGGAAAGAUGGGUUGAAAAUGAAUCCGAAUAAAUGUGCUUUUGGCGUGUCGGCUCGAAAGUUCUUGGGGUUCAUGGUUCACGAGUGAGGCAUUGAAAUUAAUCAGAGGAUCAUUGGUUCUAUUAACAAAGUUGUGGCUCCGUAAAAUAAGACUGAGUUGCAGUCAUUAAUCGAUAAAAUUAAUUUCAUCCAAAGAUUCAUAUCGAACCUGUCUGGAAGGAUUCAAUCUUUCAGCCUGUUGCUUAAACCAAAAGUCGAUCAAGAGUUCGUUUGGGGGUAGAGCAGCAAAAUGCAUUGGAUGAUAUCAAACAAUACCUGGUGUCACCUCCUAUAUUGGUUCCUCCACAAGCUAACAAGUCGUUCAGGUUAUACCUCUCAGCCUAUGAGUGUGCCAUUGGGUCGGCUCUUGUCCAAGAACUUGAAGGGAAGGAACGAGUAAUUUAUUAUGUGAGCAGAAGACUCUUGGAUGCAGAGACCAGGUAUUCCCCAGUUGAGAGGUUGUGUCUAUGCCUAUAUUUCUCCUGCACUAAGCUUAGACACUAUUUAUUAUCCGCCGAGUGCGUUGUGGUAUGCAAGGAUGAUGUGGUCAAAUACAUGUUGCCAUUGCCAAUUCUAAAUGGAAGGAUUGGGAAGUGGAUUUUGACUCUGUCGGAGUUUGACCUAAAGUACGAAUCAACUAAAGCUGUCAAAAAGGGCAAGUCAUGGCCGAUUUUGUUACUCAUCAUUGUAGGCCAGAGGUUGCUAUUGUUGAGGUAGCCCAAUGGACUUUAUUCUUUGAUGGAUCUUCAUGUGGGAUUGGAUCAGGAAUCGGCAUAAUCCUUAUAUCACCUUGGGAGGCGAACUACAAGUUCUCACUGCCAGUUGAGGCUUCUGCUACCAACAACCAGGCCGAGUAUCGAGCCAUUUUGAAGGGGAUCCAAUUGCUGAGAGAAAUCAAAGCUGAUGCUGUUGAGAUUUUUGGGGAUUCUAUGCUUAUCAUCAACCAGCUGACUGGAGGAUGUGAAUGCAGAGAUGAUAUUUUAAGAAUUUACUAUGAACAGUGCCUUCAGUUACUCAAAGAAUUCAAGAGUGUGGUUAUUGAGCAUAUUCCCAGAGAUUACGAUGAGGAUGCUAACAAGCUCGCCGCAUGCUUCUGGUUAUCGACCGAUCUGUGGUGUUAUGGCCUUAGAGUUAAUGGCCGAUGAUUGGAGGAAAGAAAUAGUAGAUUACUUAAAAGAUCCCUCCAAGAAAGUCGAUAGGCGAGUUCGAUUUCAGGCUUUGCAAUAUGUGUUGCUUGAAGAUGACCUUUAUUAUCUGAUGAUUGAUGGGGUCUUGCUUAAAUACCUCAGGGUUGAAGAAGCCAAGAAACUGAUGGGCGAAAUUCAUGAAGGGGUUUGCGGAGCUCAUCAAUCGGCUUUCAAGAUGAAGUGGAUGAUUAGAAACAAGGGGUAUUAUUGGCCGACUAUACUUGAAGACUGCUUUAAAUACUAUAAAAGUUGUCAAGAUUGUCAGAAGUUUGGCAAUGUGCAAAGAGCCCCGGCAUCGGCUAUGAAUCCUAUAAUAGAGUUGUGGCCAUUUAGGGGGUAUCGAUUUGAUCGGCCAGAUUUAUCCACCUUCAAGCAAGGGUCAUAAGUUCAUACUAGUAGCAACGAAUUAUUUCACUAAGUGGGUUGAAGCAAUUCCCUUGAAAAAUGCAACAUCGGCAAGCAUGGUUGAUUUUGUCAAAGAACACAUCAUCUAUCAAUUUGGUAUCCCUCAAACUAUCACUACCGAUCAAGGGACAAUGUUCACUUCGAGAGAGUUUGAGGAAUUCGCUACUAGUAUGGGAAUUAGGUUGUUGAAUUCUUCUUUGUAUUAUGCCCAGGAAAAUGGUCAAGCUGAAUCAUCCAACAAGGGGAUCAUUAAAUUAAUUAAGAGGAAGAUCGAAGAGCAGCCAAGGCGCUGGCACACUACGUUGAGCGAAUCCUUAUGGGCGUAUCAAAUGGCUUGUCACGGAGCCACAAAAGUAUCCCCUUAUCAAUUGGUUUAUGAACAUGAAGCAGUUCUACCUUGGGAGUUAAAGACUGGGUCUAGGCGUGCAUCGUUGCAAGACCAGUUAACAGCCGAAGAAUACUCUACUUUGAUGAAAGGGGAUUUGGAAGACCUAGCGGGUCAUCGACUAAGGUCUUUGAUCAGCAUCGAAGAAAAUAAGAAGAGGGUGGCUAGAUGGUAUGACAAAAAGGUCAAGGUCAAGGAGUAUUCCCAAGGAGAUUUAGUCUGGAAGCCGAUAUUGCCGAUUGUGUCUAAAGAUCCCAAAUUUGGGAAAUGGUCGCCUACAUGGGAGGGACCGUAUCGGAUAAACCGGUGUGCUCCUGGUAAUGAGUAUAUUUUGGAGACACUUGAAGGAGAGGAGUUCACAAGGGCUCUAAAUGGAAAAUACUUUAAGAAGUACUACCCGAGUAUAUGGGUAGAUGCAUAGCCGAUGGUGUGAUGCCUCGGACUAACAUAGACGAUAUUGAGGGUAUCGCCUUUAGUCUAAAAAGAAAAGAAGGAAAAAGGCAGACACAUGGAUAGCCGAUAAAAUCAGCUGUGAUAUGGCCGAUGUGAUACAAGUCACCCUUAGAACAAAUAAUACUUGCAACACUUCGGACACAACAGGUUAUUACAUCAAAGUCAUCAUUAUAUCAUGGCCAAGACAUUCCAUUACAGGCAAAUCUGGAUGGCUCCCUAUUGAUAUCGGCAAAUACUUACUCCCUUUGGCGAGAUGUGCCUAGGAGACGCCCCAGUUGAGCCUUAGUAGUGCCGAUUUCCCUGUUGACCUGGCCCAAUUCCAGUAGAAGUUGAAUUUUCCUAGCCUCCAAACUGGCCAACUUGUCUUCGAGCAAUACACGGGGGGGGGGGGGGGGGGGGGGGGGAGAGAGGUUGAUGGCUUCGAAGGAUUGGCUGCUGCAUUUGCUGGUUUGAGCCUGCAGCUUUGAUUGAGGACAAGAUCGAUUUGAUGUCCAUAGGUAGAUGGUCUCUGAUUUGAUCACGAUGAGCUUGGAUCAAAGCUUUGUCCACCUAGGUGAGCGGCUCAUUGGAAUGAAGGAUCUGGAUGACCUAUUCAAGCUGUUCGUCCACUUGAUUUGGCUGGGAAAGAGAACAAAGAGUCAAGGUUUGGUUCAUGAUAACCAAUUCGGAAUAGAGAAAACAUAGCAAUACCUGGUUGACUGAAGAAGAGGAAGCCAUCUUGGUCGCGUGAAUUCAAUCUAGUUCGAAAACUCGCAGUGUGUGCGGUCUUGAAGGUGACCUCAAGGAAGGAGUAGGGGUCUGUAUUUAUAAGACGAAUAGACGUGUGAAAUGUGAACAAUGGUCGGUCAAAAGGGGCUUUAAAUGGGACUAGCCAUUGGCGAGUCAGAAAGAGCUGUGGAGAAACGGUCAAAUUACAUUCAAGAUGGAUAUUGAGCAUUGACAUCACGAGAGGAAUGUACCAAGUACCAGAAUACAUAAAAGCUAAUAACGUUCGUUACAAUUAUGCUAGAAGAGUUUGAAUGGCAUUUAUCGCACGCAGGCGAAUCUGAUUGGCAGCCUUUAUCUCCCUACGGUCGUCAUCGGCUGAGCCGGGUAUGUCAGUUAUGCUCCGAUGUAGCUGAAUAGCUUGAUGCGCAUGUGCUUGCUUUUCCUGCUCUAAUUGCUUGAGGACUUCUAGAAGUUGGGCGAGCUUGGUUUCUUCGACGAUGAUGGCAUCGCCGAUGCUUUUCAAUUCCUUCAUCAGUUUUUACCUCCUUGCUUUGAGCCAAUCAAUUUCACCAACAAUAUUGGGGCGAGAAUCCCUAAGAAAGCCGAUCUUGGGAUGGAUUUCAUCGGCCUAAAGCUUAUGGAAUUCCUUGUCCUUAUGCAAUUGUUCCUGUUUGGCGCGAUCGGCUGUGCGGCGUAGAGCCCUUAACAUCGGGACUUGGUGACUCCCUAUGUAGGCUGCGGGGAGGAUGGCUUCUUCUUUGUCUUCUAGGAUCUGGCCUUUGAGGUUGCGGAGGAUGUCGUGCAUCGGUUGUGCAUCUUUGACUAGUUGGCUGAUGCCUUGCUGAAGGAAGUCGAGUAUAUCUUGAAGUUUGGCCUUUAGGACAUCAGGAAUAGAUUCUGGAACCAGUGGGUGUGACAAAACUUCUUCUUCUUCGUGGAUUUCCCCUACCUGAAAUGAGAAGAGGCUGCUGUCUGGAGUGUCCUGAGCCUGCAAGGAUCAAUAAGGUAUAAGCUGAUGAAGCUAGUUGAUUGGAAUCAAUUAAUGUGCAAAAGAGUGUUCACCAUCUUCCAUUGGGUUUCUCUGGUUUGUGUUGGUGAUUCCACUAGGGACUCUUGUUGAACUGGUUCUGCGGAGGGUGGCAUGUUCUUGGAAGGUACAUUGACUGCUAGUGUUUCAAGAAUAGCGGCCGACACUUCUGGGAUAGUCUGUAUAGAAAACCGAACGAUUCUUAGCAACGGAGGUUGAGAAGGGUUGGAAUAGAGUAUGCAUUUUACCUCAAGUGUUGGAGUGAUGGCCGAUGCAGUCUCCUGUGUAUCUUUAGCCUGUGGAUCAGCCGAUGAAGGAGGCGGAGGCAUAGCCGAUUCUAGGAUGGGCUCUUCUGGUGCCGAUUGUGCGGAAGGCUAAAAGAAACAAGAGUCAGUACUAGCAAAGUAUCUAGAAAAAAUUAAAUAAGUGAGAUUACCUGCAUAGCCUCUAUCAAAAGUGAUGUAGCUACUGACGCUACUUCCGCUAGAACAGCCGUUUGGGGUGCCACCGCUGCCGUCGGAUCAGUCUCCUGGGCUGACGCUGCUGUCGGCAGGACGGAUGCCUAUGCUGAUUUGGAGCCUUUUUGAGGGUGCUUCUUACGGGUAGCCUUCUCAAGAAUAGAGACUUUGCGCUUUUGGCCUACGGCUAUGUCCAUUAAAGAUGGCGCAUCGUAGCCAAUGAGGGGGUCAGCCAAUGGAGGGACGUAAGCAAUUGGCUUGUUGCUCUAGCUAACUCUUGAAGGUGUAAAGUGAACACCCUGUAAAGGGCAAAAGUGUUAGUGGGAAGAAAAUAUCUGUAAUGAAAGGAGAUUCAGCGGAAUCAAUGGUGAUUACCCCUCCAUCAGGAUCAUUGAAGUCUAGGUCGAACUUCCUACAAUAAAUUCUUGUUGCCACAUAGAAAAGAUGAUUCUUCC